UCCAAGCAAGUGGUAACAUGGACUUGUACAUGGAACAUCCCAAGCGCAAGCAUAGCUGAAGUGAGCCUGUACAAUGAGCUAGUGUAAGUCCCUUCAUUUAAUUUAAUUAGUACUGGCUUGUGUGUAUGAUUUGUGUGAAGUGGCGGAUCCACGAAUUCAAGUUACCAGGGGUGAAAAUUUAACUUAAAAAAUACGAAGGCACUUGCACUCCGAAAAUCAACAUAACUUGAGAAAUGUGAUGCUACAUACACUUUGAAAACCAGCUAAUGAUCCAAAGUAGUUCUAGAUUACAAAACACUAAAUGAUGUAAGCACCAAAAAAACACAAAAUGCAACAUGGUGUACAAGGACUACUAACAUGGUCUGUGCGUUCUUUAAUUAUUCUUUCUCUGGCUGAAAAUAUUGACAUGAAAUUGCACCUAUAACCAGUGCACAAACUGCAUAUCAAUAUAUCUAUCCUGCACAAGUACGCCAAUAGUUUCAAACAACAGAUUAGAAAAGUAUGUCAUGAUACGGGGACUUUCUUGUGGAUGGCCUCGAUGUUUCCUCAAGCCAUGAAAAUGUACUAUAAUUUGCUUCUCCUCAAUUCCUACAAAUCUCUAUGUCUCUCUCAACAUAGCAGAUCAUCAUUACACACUAAAUCCUUCAAUGGGAGCUUGCAAAAUGCUUGCCUUAGAUCCCUCAUUAGACACUAUAUGUUCAUCACCAGAAGCAUGUAGAAUGUUUGCAUCAAAUCCUUCAUUAGCAGUUUGUUCAUUAGACACUUCAGGCUCAAGAACAACAUGAGCUUGUAUGAUUGCACUCGAAACUUGAUUAGAUACAUCAGGUUGAGUCAGUUCAAUUUUGAUUGGGGGAGUUAUAAAAUAAGCAAAAAUUGGUUUCAUUUUCUCAUAGAUCCCCUACAUAAAAUAAGCAGUUUUACAAUACCGUCAGGUUUAACUAUUAGCCAGAAAUUGAAUAGUUGAAUUAGAUAUAAUCAGGGAUGUGAUGUACCUACUCGUUGUGCAUGCCGCUCUUGUCAGCUGCGACUGUCUGUGCUGCCGCCGCUGCCUCCAAUGCAGGCUACACCCAGGGUUGGAUCAUCAUCUUCUUGUCCUUCCAUUCGCUUGAAGCUUGGCGACCGACGUCCAACGAGCGUGCGAGGAAGUGCUGUGUUGGUCUGUCCAACGGUGGCUAGGUUAGGAGCGAACUAGACUGGAGGCUGGAGCAAACGAAUUUGGAUUUUUCCUGAUGUUGAUCAAUAUGGGAAGCGCUCUUUUGGGCCGCGGGCCUGCUAUUGGGCCUGCCUUACACUUACGUUAUUGGCCCAUCCAAAUUGAAACAUUUUUCUUCAUUUUUUACAUUGGCUGCUAGUGUGUUUGGACAAAAAAAUGCCUGGGCAAACCUGGAUGACUCAAACUAGGUGCACACUUUCCAGCCACUCGAGGCGGCCGCCCAUACUAGCCCCUAUGGUGGCAUCGCCCUUUUUGCGUGUAUGAUUGGGGUAGUGAAAAAUAUUCCAGUGGCGCUUUAGAUUUACACACAGAAUGGUUGAAUUGCAUGUUUCUAUGAACUGAGUUCGCCAAUAAUGUGAAGGAUGCCAGUCUUUUCAUCCCAUUGUAGAUUGCUUAGAUCUCGAUAUGGCAAAUGUAAUCGCAUGAAAUAUACAGUAAAAGCCAGUGUGAUGUGUGUUCCUACAACUAGUCUGACAACCCGUCCUCAUAUAGCAUAUCAAGGACGCACCAUCUUAUCAGAUUAACCAUUCGACUUACCAAUGCAGUGUGAGAAGAAAGAAGUAUUGGGACUGCAUAUCGAAGCAAUUGAUGCCAUGGACUCCUUCGUAGAACCUUUUAAGCGAAAAAGAAGUUGCAGUGUGCCUAUACAAAGAGCUAGCGUAAGUUCAGUUACCUGCUUCUCGGAAUUUUAGUUAGCCACUUAUUGCAAAAUUGUUCAAUUAUGUUGCUUGGGUUAACUUAGUUUGCUACUGAUUACAUAAUGCCAUAGCCUGUUAAUCCUAUUAUAGUCGGCGCCUAUCUAUGUGUUUGAUACUUACUCUUAAGAAUUACCUAUUUGCCUGAACUUAAAUAGCUACUUAAGCACAUAGAUAGUUGCUCAUAUGUACUUCUAGGGUGCAGUAGAGUUCACGUGUAAUUUACAUUCUGAUACCCUGUUUUUUUAAAUGGUUUGCUGUUAUCACUUGUAGCACUAGCAAUAUUUGCAUAUUCAUACAUAGACAAUUGUCAUGUUUAUACGAGGGGCACUCGUCUUUUUAACUUAUAUAUACAGCCAGUCUAUUCUGAUAAUAUUAUUAGAAUAACUAUCCUGAUAACACUUCCGCACUGCACGCUCAAUGCAAGUGCACGUCAUUGUUUGAACCAAGUGUGCUGCAGUACUGAGGCGAGUGAACUUCCCGUGGCAAAAAACUGCAAACAGUGUUUUUUCUGGUACUGUUUUCGCUCUAGUUUUUUAACCAUUUGUUGCAACAAGGCGUGUAAUAUAUCGUUGAAAAACUAUGGAUUAGGCGCAACUUCGCCAUGUUGAACACUUUCUGAGAUUCCUCACGGUUUAAGAGCAUUUUUGAAAAUGGUGCGGCCCACAACGAGUGGCAGCGAGCGUUUUUUCGCAUUUUUUCUAAACCGCUCGUCGGAAUGAAGCAAAUGAUACACCGUUGGAUAGAUAUCGUCGAGGUGCAUCUUUUUCAUAUCUAUUUAUUUCUCUAAUUCAUUACGGUUUAAGAGCAGUUUCAAAUUUACUAAAUCGCGGAAUUCUGUUUUUCAUUUUUUUUCAAAUUUUCGGUACUGUUUUCGCUCUAGUUUUCUAACUGUUUGUCGAAACGAGGCGUGUAAUAUGUUGUUGAAAAGCUAUGGACGAGGCACAACUUUGAUAUGUUGAAAUGGUUUUAAGAUUCCUUGCGGUUUUAAGUUAAUUUUGAAAAUCGUGUGGCGGACGAUAAGUGAAAGCGGCUGUUUUUCGCAAAAAUUUUACAAACCGGUCGUCGAAAUGAUUCAAAUGAUAUGUCGUUGGAAAGAUAUCGACGAUACACAACUUUUUCAUGUAGAACACUCUCUCUAAUUCCUUACGGUUUAAGAGCAGUUUUAAAUUUACCGAAAUGCGGACACUCUAUUUUUCACGACACCCAAAUCGACGUGGGUACUUCAUCUGACUGAAACCACACUGCAUCGGACGAAAAACCACACUGCAUCAGACGGGUAAGAGAACUGCAUGGUUUCUUUUAUUCAAAUGUAAUUUUUUGAAGGAUGAGAAAGUAGAGUGCACUUCACAUCGGGUGUAAAUGAACCACAACACUAUCAAGAAGUGAACCGCAUUACUUUUUUUCGCUUCCGUAACAAUUUUUUGCACUUACAGGAUGAAAAACAUCACACGUCCGACCGCACUGCUUCAGAAUGAAAAACACACUGCAUCGGACGAGCAAGCGAGCUGCAUAAUUUCUUUUACCGGACGUUAUUUUUCUCAUGCGAGUUUUUGUUGUCUUUUUUUCAACAAUUUUUCAUGAAUGAGAGUUCACCGCAGAGACGAGGGCAAAUGAACCGCAACACAUGUUGAAGUGAACCUCAUUGCUAUCUUUUUGUUUCGUUUAAAAAAACCGCACUUUCAUGUUGGGCACAAGUGAACACCAUCACUCUCAAAAGUGAACCACAUCCGAGAACCAAAAGCGCUGCACGUGUUAAUGUAGUCGACUAGUUUUUGAGACACACAAACAAAUUGCACUUCAUACAUAGGUAUAAUGAGCUGCUACACAAAUUGCAUUUUGUUUGAAAUGGACUGUAUUGAAAAGUCCUUCCUAGUGGACUUUUUUCAAGACCAAAGUGCAACGUAUUUGCAUGAUUUUCUAAAUGCAUUAUUUGUUUUAAAAGGUGUGUACUAAAAACUCGAAUCUGCAUACAACUUGAAUCUGGACUGCAUUGUCGAGAGUAAGAAACUACAUGGUUUUUUCAUACAUCGUCAUUUUUAGUCUAAACAAGAAAAUGGUGCAAAAUGAAGUACAAAUGAGUUUUUAAUAAUUACAACGUUUUCUGUGUAUUUUGCACAAUAAUAACUCCAUCGUCAUACAUUUUUUUGAGAAAAAUAACACUCAAUCCAUGGAUCAUCUACACCCGUGUACAGCACAAACUGCAUAGUCGUCGAAGUGGGUUGCAAAACAAUGUGCCAAAAAUUCGUGGCGGAGGAUUGCCGGUGACUGGACUGCAAGUGCAGAUGGGGAACAAGGAGGGCAUCGGGCGUACUGCAUGGGCCCGUGGUCAGAACUACAAGCCGCCGUUGAUAGAGCCGCAUGCCACCCUGCAACGAAAGAGCAACCUACACUGCUCACCGUUGGCGAAGAACAAACAAUGAAGAAUUGGAUCUUGGGCAUUUUUUGUGUACCUGCAGUGUGGAUGGAGGCGCCAAGGAACUUCAUGUUGAUGAAGAGAGAGCUACACGCGAGGGGGUUCGCCGAUCUGCACAUCAUGGUCGUCGGUGAUUGCGAGCGCUGAUAGUAGGAGAGGGAAAGGAUUGCAAGCACAGGGUCGGUGGACUGCACGGGAGGAGCAACCCAAUUGCAUGUGAAUACAAAAUGAACCUCGCCAGCGUCGAGAUGUAACAAACCGCCGCCCAGUGGAAGCUCGGGGGGAGGAAGGGGCUUAUGGGCUAGGGGAAGCAGAGGAUUCCGGAUCCGAUGGGUCCAUGGAGACGGGCUGGUUGGCGCGUCAGGGCUCCGGGAAGCAGCGAGUCGUCGGAGUAGGAGGCACGGGCAUCCGGCGGUGCAGCACUCCACCUGCAUCGGGCAGCAGCGGGACUCCCUAGAUCCGGAGCAGCCGCUGAUGGCGAUGGUGGAUCCACGCCGUAUCUGAGGCGGGAUAGGCGAUGGAGGCGGGGAGGCACGCGCUGGUGGCCGCAUAGAGAGGGCGGCGCGGGUCGGCGCACCGGCGUAGAAGGUGGAUGGGUGGGAGGUGGGAGGCCACUGGUGGUGCCCGUGGCUAUGUACGGGGCCGGGACGGCCGGAUCCGGCGCGGGCAAGGCCCUGGUCACCGAUUGGGUGCCAGCGGCGGACAGAUCGGGGACUGCUGGUGGCCACGGCCGCGGUGGUGCUAUAGGUGGCUGCUCGUGGCGGUGUGAGCCCAGGCCGGCGGUGGGGUGGGUCGACGUUAGAACAAAGGUGCGGUUCGAGGCGAGAGAGGCGACGGGGCGGCGCGAGCUCAAUGGCGCGACAGUGGCGGAGGAAGGUGGAGCGAGGUGGGGCGGCGGCGUGGGAGAGGGAGGUGGUGGUGCCGCGCAGUGGAAGGAGGCGGUGGUGCGGCAUGGUGGAGGGAGAUGGCGCGGCAGAAGGAGGUGGAGGGAUUAGGGUUCUGGUCGUGCGGGUGGUGGGUUGGGGUGGUGCGGGGCUGCGGGCACUGGUCGGGGACGGGUUGACCUGGGGUAGAAAGUAGGAUAAGGUGGGAAGUGGUGGCGGGUGUGGGUGGUUCUGAUGCGGUUCGGUUGAGUGGUGCGGGACGGUGCUGAAGUGUUGUCAGAAUAAGGGGUAGGUGUUAUUAGAAUAAGGUCUUAAGGGGUGUUAUCAUAAUAGACCCACCCUAUAUAUAUAUAUAUGCUGGAAUCAUUUUACUUACAUCAAAGAAUUUUACAGACAUUUGUGUUGUGGGUAAACGGUACAAACUCGUUACUUUAAUACGUUGCCAAGAACUUGUUAGUUUUACUAGUUCAUGUGUAAUUAAAUGUGUUGCCAAAACUAGUUAGUUUACUAGUUUGAUGUUAGUUUCUUAUGGCUCUUGCAACACUUUAUUUAUGAUUGCAAACAUUCAAGUUUGCAGGAUCCAACUGAAACUCCGUUGGCACAAUAGGUAUGUUUUCAGAAACUUCCUUGUUUACCUGGUUUGCUAUUGUAACUUGUGGUUGUAAUCAUCUAACCAACUUCAAGUUUUCAGGAUCCAAUUAGAAGUCCAAUUGCACAGCAGGUACAUUUUCAAAAAUAUAUUUGUGCAACAGGUUUGCUGUUGUAACUUGUUGCUCUAAUCAAGUUACUGACUACGCAACCUUUCAGGAUCCAAGAGAAACUCCAAUGCCACAACAGGUUCCUUUUCCAAAUCAUGUUUGUUUAACUUCUUUGAUGCUGCAAUCGGUUGCUCUAAUCACAUUACUGGCUACUCAACUUUUAGGAUCCAAGAGAAACUCCAAUGCCACAAUAGGUACUUUUUGCAAAACUUGUUUGUUUAACUGCUUUGCUGUUGCAACCGGUUACAAUGAUGUUAAUAAGUACUUUUCAGCAUCCAAUUGAAACUCUUUAAUUCCUUGUUUGUUUAACUAGUUUGCUAUUCUAACUCCCAGUUGAGAUGUUUUGCUAACUUCAACAUUUCUGAAUCCAAUUGGAACUUUAAUGGCAAAAUAGGUUAGCCCAAGAUCAAAGAGCGAGGUCCCCAUGGACGUUGUAUCAUCCCACAACAGUGGCACCAGCCAAAUCGUGCAUCAUGAAUUGCCAACUGCUAAUUCUCUAGAGGCUAAACUAUUGGUAGAAAGAGAUUGUGCUUCUGCACUUAGAGAUGAAGUUGACAUGUUGAGGAAGCAUACACUACAAUCACAAGUUGUACUCAAGACAACCCUUAAAUAUUUGGUGCACUUCAAAACGAAGCAAGCUGAGACUGACCGCAUUGUUAAGGUCCUGGAGGAAAAAGCGAAAUUAAAUUCCCACUUGGCAAAUCAUAGGUGAAAUGUUGUUUCCAUCAUUGAAUAGCCUUUAUGUUGUUUGUUCAUGUAAUCGAUCAAACCAUUUUUUAGAGAUCAUGUAAUAAUUGUUUUUUGUUUUUUGGUUUGUAAUUUUUUUGUGAGCACAAGUCUAUAUUAAUUGAUAAGACUCUGAGACAUUUCAUUUUGAUUGCUGUGCUGGACCUACAUAUAUGCUAAUCGGGCUGAAUGUGCAUUCAGCAAUAAUAGUAGUAUGGAUGGUCCUUACAUGGCACGCAUCUAAAAAGGCCAAGAUGUUGUACUAGCGACCUGGCUUAUGUAUGUUAGUUGAUAUUAUUGAUCCAUAUACUCUAUAAGUGUUUAUAUGUCUGUUAGUUUUGUACAUUAUUGGUUGAUUGACUUAGUAUUCUAAAUCUUGAGACAUCACUUGUGUACAUAUCUAAAUGGGAGUACACAUUAUGCUGCGUGUGACAGUUGAGUUGGACAUAAAGUGGUUUCAAAUAUUCGAAUUCGCCUUAAACUGGAUUCUAGCUUCUGAAUUCGAGUAUCGGCAUUUGUAAAUCAUAUUCAUAUAUGACAGUGGAAUACAUCUUUGUCGUGCUUUUGAAGAUAUAUAAAAACAUAAAAAUGAUUUAUAAAGAUUCGUAUAAGAAUACAAAAUGGAUUUGAAUUUAGUUGCCAGGGUAAACGUGGAUGCUUAUUGUCCCAAAAUUUGAAAGAAGCAGCAAAAUAUCCGCUCCCAUGUCGGUGCCCGAAGCCAGUGUUUGGGAGAUGGAAAUUACUGUCUACCCCUUACGCGGACAAUCCAUCGGCCUGAUUUCCGCUGCUCUCAAUAGGGCUAGGUUAGUAACUUCAAUUAGACGUGACACGACCGCCUCUAAGCCCAUUCCGACACAGUGGCCGCCAAACAUGGGCGGCAAAACACAUUUGAUUCAAGCUUGUCCGAAAGACCUCUGUCUCUCCCUCCAUUUCCCCAUUCAUAUACGAUGGGAAGCAAAACAAACUCGACUCAACCGAAAUUGAUGUAAGCAAAUAUUUUCAAUCGGGGCAGGCUUGUAACUUCACUCAGAUGUGACACAACCCCCCUUCCUGUCAGCCCCGUUCAUACACCAUGGGCACCAACCGUGGGCGCCAAAACACCCUCUGCUUGCCCGAAAUCACUCUAGGAAAAUAUUGGGGAGAUGCGAGAUUACCGUCCUAUCCCCAACCAAUGAGACGUCCAAAUUUUGAACGGGGGCUAAGUUGGUAACUUUCCCAUAUUUUAGACAAGCGCAUCCCAAAAACAUGGUUCCCCGUACCUCUCCCUCCAUUUUUACAAUCAUACACCAUCCGCGCUAGAACACCAUCCCCACACCAGCCUCCUCCGUCCGCCACCCCAUCCAUCACCACCGUCCUCCACCCCAUCCAUCGCCACCGUCCUCCACCAUGCUGGAGUGCCUACCAAGACCGCGUCGUCCACUACUAGAGAUGGACAUUUCUCAUCCAAGGCGACGGACCAGGAGCCUUGCAUCACAUCCUCUCACUUCAUCGGCGACAUCGUCCUCUUUGUCGGGGCUGCUCACACGACCUUCUCGUCCACCAAAACGGGACUUAUCCCCCGAUGCACCGGUCUACCAUCGCAGAUCUGCUUCAACGCCACCGACAGCCAUCGAACCCCCGAUGCCUACACAGUGCCACAAGAGAGAUGGUACUUCAUAUCUGCUCAACUUUUUGAUCUCAACCAGAAAGUAGAUCGUAACUUGGUUACUGUACUUUCUUUUUAGCUCUUAGAAUUUAGUUCUUAGUUCGAAGCAAACAAUGGAUGCUAAAUAGCAUUUCUGCGGUUUGCAGCUUUAAAUCUGCCAUGGCACAGUCAUAAUAGGGUUUAAUUGAUCAUGUUGGUUCCCUGGUGGUUUCUUUAAUAGAAGCCGGAGGGGAAACCCUCCUUUGCUCAAAAAAAGCUUAGGGUUUCCCCCUUUUAUGAUCACUAUACGAUCAGCAUACGUGCUUCGUGUCAUAAUAGUACUGCUCCAACCAUCAAGCUAAACAAGCUUAGUUGUUCAAAUAUGAAUAUGAGAUUAUUAAAGCAGAGUCGUUUAAUUGGUAAGCUAAAUGUUCCUAAUUUAGUUUUCAAAAAUUCAUGUACGCCACUCGAGGAUGUAUCUACAGGGUGCCCACGGUGGGCCGCAGCCCACCCUGGGAUUUUGGGUCAGCCCAGGCCUCGAUCCUUCUCCAUUCUGAUGCGCUUCUGAUAUCUCCUCGCCCCAGCCACCUGCCUCGCUGAUGACUUGCCAUCCCUGGACGACAUGACUCUAGGAGGAGACGCCGGACUAACCGGAGGUCAGAGUCGCUCGCCCAACAGCGUGACCGCUGCCAGGGAGCACCGCCGUGCCUACCUUCCCAGUACGUUCAGGACUCAGGUGUGCAGCAGCCACUAAGCCAACCAGAUUUAUCCUGAGAUACGUCCUCAACACUCAACAGCUACUCGUCAUCACCCAUUUUCUAAUUGAUUCAUUACUCAUUAGGCAGGAUUAUCAUUAGGGUUUGUUGUGUACUGAGUGCUACCUACACUUAAUAGUUCAGAUGUAUUUCGGUAAUCUUUAGUAGCUGUAAAGUUCACUGGGUUCCAAAAUUCUGGCCCUAGGAACAUACACUAGUCAUUUUGGAUUGUUGGUCAUGGUGACAUUGACCUAGAUUACUACUGCAGGCCAGGUUUGUUGACAAUUUUACUUGUCUUUCUUACUCGUUCGAUGUGAUAUCCAAUUAUUCAUGUCAAUUAGUUGCAAAGAAUAAUUGCUAGACCAACUUCUUGAUUCAGAUUUUGGACGGUCUCUUACUGCAGUUACAAUUCUGCAUACUUGUCCUAGUAAUCUCACAAGUAAUGAUUGAUUCACUACCUCUAUGCUUGCCUUGUCAUAUUUGUUGUCAAUAUUCUUUUAGGGUGGACCACCCUAUUUCAAAAUACUGGAACCACAGACAUGAGUGAAUAGUAUUUCUCUAUGUGAUCUCUCCCAUCAUGUGUGGGCAACGAACACUGCAUUAUAUAGAAAGAAAGUGUCAUUUCCACCUUUUACAUAGACUAUACAAUCUGCCAGCACUACACCCUAAAAGCUAAACAUUGUUCCACUCAUAAUUCCUUAGUUUAUUUGUUCAGAUACGAAUUUGAUAUGAUUCUAAUGUUCCCACUUUAGUUUUGAAUGUGUGUCUGCCUGUUAUAGAGACAUAAGAGGUUUGUAUUUCUGUGUUUGGUCUGGUCGGCGCGGUUGGGGGUGAACUUUGCAUAUGCAGGGGUUUGUAGGGAGACACUCUUUGAGUUGAAUCCACAAUGCAUUCCAUAGAUAAUUUGAGUACUUUUAUGUUUUCAUGAAUCUCAGAUGUUGCACAACAUCAUAAUGAUCAUGUGCUCGCACGCAUGAAAAGAAUAAAGCAGAACAAUGCCAUAGUUGUCAAACUUGGCAUUAAGGGACUGAAAUCAAGUCUGGAUGCAAUGCAAUGCAAAUGCUCUCCACCUACAUAUUCAUGCUUAGAAUAUGAUCCUAACUGUGAUUAUGAGAUAAAGGGAGACCUAUGUCAAUGUAGCUCCCUAGUGGAGGAGUCAGAGGCAUAUGCCCUAUCUUAUUCACCCAUCAAGGUGCUCGCUGUAACUUUCGAAGGUUAUAUUGGUCGCACAUAUCUUGCAAUUGAUGCUUUGCAUUGCUUCUACUUUGUUGCACUGCCAUUAGCUUAGAUAACACAUUGUGUAUGUGCAUACGCCCUUCCUAUCCAUUUUCAGUACAUAUUCCAUCUGUCAUCAUACCAUAUUUAUCCAUUGAAAUGUUGUUAUUGUGUAUCAGACGUUCAAAAGGAAGAGGGCAAUUGCUGAUCGCGGAGGAGCACGAACAAAGUAUUUGGAAAAGGUAGUGACACAUGAUAAAUGAAAUAGCCCAUUAGGUGUAGUUGCAAUAUCACCAGACCCAGAAAAUGCGGCCACAACUCUAGCAGAGUCUAGCCCUACUACAUUGGCCAUAUCUAAUGCCCCAACUCAGCAGAUCCCAACUACUACAAACAGUAGGAUGGUGCCAGUUGACAUAACACCACCUCUAUGAUGCAAAAACCCCAUUCCAGCAAAGAGUACACCAAAUCCAGUUGCCAAAUCCCUUUUCAAACAAGAGAGAGCCCCAAUUGCAGCAAAUAGGACUCAUGUUCCACUUCUUCCCAGUUUACAAGACGAAGCUUAUAUUGUUGUCAGGAACUUUAUGUGCAUCUUUCCUUCACGGAAAGAUUAUACCACAGACAAAGAACAAUUUCCAAUCUUCCUCGGCAACUUACGCAUAAGUAAUGUACUAAUGUUAUUCAUGGUAAUUACUGCAUAUGUUUCUGCUGACAGAAGACACAAGAUUUCAUUCUUUCAAAUAGGCGAGGACCAAACUGGAUUGUCAACACAAGCAAGGGUUGGUUGCGCUUUUCAAGCACUUGUUGAUGAAGUAUCGUUCCUACUUGAGGUAAGCACACUUCGAUGGCAAGCCUCUAAACGAAAUUUCUUUAAAGUCUCCGGUGCUACAUUUAUCAGAUAGUGACUGGAAUAAUCUUGUUACACAUUGGUCUCGGCUACAGCAUAAGGUACUGUCUAUGAUAUCACAUCACAAUUUGAACUACAUUUAUGCAUGUGCACAACGUCUCACUUGUACGAAACUGUUUGCAGAAGAACAUUCAGUCUCAAGGGACCACAGAAUCUCGCAACUAUACUACACACUGCAUUGCUCUUGUGAGUACCUCUUGCCCUGUAUGACCAUACUUACUUUCAUAGCUGGUAGAUUAUGUAGCAUCAGUGCACAUGUUAUCCUCGUUAUCGUCCAUUUGGUGGACAUUGUAAGAUCCGUAUGGACUCUUACAUAAAUUUAAAAUCAACCCAAUGCUUUUGAAGUGGUUUAGCUCUACAGUCCUCUUGUAAGGACUGAACAUCUUCUAUCAUUGUACUUACAUUAACGACUACUCCCUCCGUCCCAUAAUAUAAGAACAUUUUGUAUAGUACACCAGGUUCAAAACAGUCUUAUAUUAUGGGAAGAGGGAUUGGUUCAUUGUGUAGCAUUCUGCAUCUUAUCUCCCUCGCCAACCAUUUACUAAAAAGAUAUCACAUCUAUAUUUAAUCUUACCAAAAAGUUGAAUACAUAGACAAUGCCAGUGCAGAAGUGUAGCCCAUUGCUCUUGUUAGUACAUUUUAUCCUGUAAUGCUUGUACUUCCAGGGAUUGGUAGUUCAUUAUGUAGCAUCAAUCUGCAUCUUAUCUUCAUUAUCCUCUACCCCUUCCAGUAUUACCAUAUCUAAAAGUACUCUCUACAAAAUGUAGAGUACAUGCAAUGCUUAUGAAGAAUAUUAUGUGCUGAAAUUCUUGAGUUAUCCUUCCCUUGACAUGGAGAAGGGCACUAUAAUGCCGGUGUUAACUGUUAAUCUAAGUAAGUCCUUCUAAAUCAAUUAUCCUCAACUGCUUUUUAAUUUGCUCAUACUCCCUAUCGUUAACUGCUAUUUAGUUUGUUGUUUCUAUCAAAAUGCAUGUUCGCAACAACCUUAAGUUCCAAGUUUCACUUGUAAAACCAAAUUCCGUAUUCAUACCAUGCACAUUACUCAAUACUCCCUAUAUGUAUGCUUGUUUUUGUGGAUCUAUAAUCCAGUGUGUGGUGAAGCAGCCCACAUUUGCACCUUGUCAUCUCCUAUUUUAUCUUACUGAUGUGGCUGAUGAUAUGAACAACAUGCCAUGCACAUUAACCAAAAUAGAUACAAUGAUUGUCUUUGCAUCUAUGCUUGUUUUGUUGACAUGGUACUCCAGUAGUGUGGUGAAUCUCCCCGCAUUAUGAAACCAAAAUAUGCUAUUGAUAUUUUGAAGUUACUCUUUAUUUUCUAAUUUGAAAUUGGAUGGAAUUGAUAGCACAGUUAUCAUCUUUGUUUGUACAUGUGCAAAACCUGUCAUCUCUCUGCUUGUUUCAGGGUGAUAUGCUUGAUGGCAUGCACGAGUCUGUUGAAGGCUGUGAGACAAACCCAACAUAUAUUGUAGCAAAGAAGGCAAAACAUCUUGAAGACAGCGAGAGAACACCAAAGUCAUGUGUUGAUGUAGUGUUCAAGUUACUUGAGGCUAGUAGUCAGACAAGCUCACAAAAUUCGAUGUCUGAAUCAAUUCGACUUCUUCAGUCCCAAGUUCUAGCCGAAAUGCAUUCUGCAACUCAACUUCGACUUGAAGUCCUAUCUCUAAGAAAGAUUGUGGAGAACACCAAUUAGAACCUCAUUGCUAAACAGCUACACCUGGAAGCUAUGACCGACAUGCUAGGCCGGUCUCACAACCUUGCUCAGCAGCUUGCGCAGCAGUUCCCAUGCAAGGCAAACCUUUCUUGAACUGGCUUGGAAGUGGUCUUCGUUUAGUAAUAUUUUGUUACGCUGCAAUGGCGCCUAGUUAUUGUAAUCUUCUUUUUCGUUGCGCUUUACGAUCACUGGUGGCGAACUUCGAUGCCCAAUGAAUAUACCAUAAAUCCUUUAUUGUAUAGUUUAGGUUUAUUCUAAGUUACUAUGCCAUAAUUUCUUUCUUGUAUAGAGUAGGUUUGUUCUUAAUUCCUACUAGUUACUGCUAUCAUUCACUAUCUGGAAAAAACGGAGAAAGUCUGAUGUAGUCGACUGGGCCCAAAACAUUCGCGUUUAACUGGCCUGCUUUUUAGCAGGCCGCAAUUGAGCUGGCCUGAAACUUUCUUGGGCCUAAAAGGCCAUUGGGGCCUUCACACUUUGCGCUAGCCCACAACUUACACAGGCCUAUAUUUGGCACAAAGUUUAGUUGGGCCUUUAGUGGACCCAGCGCUUAGUUGGGCCCAGGUAGCUUUGUGCCAUUAAGAGGCUGAAUAUUCUGCUGGCUUGUUAUGGCCCUGAAGAACCCAUGGGCCUUUAGCAGGUUGAAAUGCAUGUUGUGCCUCAAGUUUCACUAGUCGUCGACGAGCCUUUAGCAAGCUGAAAUGUAGACCAGGCCUUUUUAGGCCUAGUUAUAUGACAGGUCAUUACUAGGCCGAAACAUAUCUCGGGCCUUAGUUGGCCCACUGAUAUCAUGGGCCUUUAAGAGGCCAAAAGCUUAGUACAGGCCUCAAUGGGCCGAAUUAUAUGACAGGCCUUUAACAGGCCCAAAAGUCACGUUGGGUUGAACUGUUACAACCUUUAUCACGGGCCGUUAGAGUGCCGGAUGUUGGGUCGGACCAUGCAUGGCCCAUGGCAGCACGGGCCAUUCCCAGGCUGAAAUGGGCCCAUGUCUACAUCGGGCCUCUAAUAGGCCGAAAUUUCAUGGGGCCGUAAUUGGGCCCAAAUAUUCGGCGAACAAUAAACGGGCCAAAUGUCGGUGCAACAAACCCCGGGUCUGUUGCCUAGACCGUGUAGAGGCACGGGAGCAAGUUUAUAGCACCAAGGUCAAGCCAAAGUACAAGAAAUCAAGAUCUUCAAAGGAUCCACGUGUAGAUCGAGAGGACCAAGACCUAGCCAGAGAAGUAAGAAACCACCAGAGAAAAUCCUCCCUUGCCGGGCAGGCGAGCCCAGCAAGGACGGAUUACCCCCGCAAGAAGACCUCCAAAACACCCCGGUAGGGCCUACCGGGAUUGCGGAGACGGAGCCACCUCACUAAACCACUUCACCACGAUGCACGUCGUCGAUCAGUGCGGUGUCAAGCCACAAAAUGUAUAAAUGGCAGCCAUCUACCACAUGGCAGCCUCUUUCUACAGGAAAUACGUACAUACGACACCCGUCCUGCGACGUGUCAAGCGAGCGGGCGCGAAGCUUGCAAAACGGCUUGGCAAGGCUUGCCGGGCAAGCGACGAUGUGACGUUGAGCGGUGCAUUUAAUGCGCUUUGUCAUCCUGUAGAGUUACGUAUGAUAGCACUAUUUGCAUAAUGACUAAUUUGCCACUGUGGUGACCCCUUAACCUAUAAAAGGAGGCCCGAGGCAACCUUACAAAGGGUUGGACCCUAGACUAGCAAGUCCACCCCCUCACAUUUCAGACGCAUGUAGCCGUUUCGCCCUUAGGUAACCCUGCCGGGUGAACAUGCUACGACCACCACCAUUUUUCCACCAUCAAUCCACCAAAGUAGGAGUAGGGUUUUAUGCCUCAUGGCGUCCCGAACCUGGGUAAAACUGCCUGUGUGAUCCCUACAGUGCUGCCCGACGCUCCUCUGCUCUUUGUGCAAUGUGACAUCCCCUCGCCGAACCAGCAAGGGACCUUUGGUCCCAUAGGUGGUCGUGGUUCCCCGCGACAUCUUUGGCAUGCCAGGUAGGGGGGUCACUUGCGCGAACCUAAAGGUGUGAGCAGUGCAUCAUCUUCAUCUUCGACGAUGUCAUCGACCAUGGCGCCCAAGAAGAAACCUGGUGCUUCAGCUCACCCGUCCACCUCAAAGGCUCCGCCGCCCACAGCCACCAAUGCUACGGGGGAUGCGGAGGCUCGCGAGGAUGUGGACACUGUUGGGGGUGUGGUCGGAGUAGGCGGCACCAUCACCACCUCCCCCGCGGCCGGAGCAGGAGACACCGGAGGCACUACACCACGGUAGAGUUUAUGUGACACACUUCUAUGGACAAAGGUCCAUUAGUCUCCACAAAAAAACCAUGUGUCAGCAAUGCUAAACACCUAUUUAGACAGAUUAAGUGUCGGCAUAGGUAGGGUGUGCGUUGACUUACCAUGUGUCGGCAUAGGUAGGGUGUGUGUUUACUUACCAUGUGUCGGCAUAGGUAGGGUGCGCGUUGACUUACCAUGUGUCAGCAUAGGUAGGGUGUAUGCUGACAGAAAAAGUGUCGGCAAGUGAACUUCUAUCGGCAAUACCUUUCCCCACAGCAAGUCCUCCAACUGUUUUAUCUCCUGUCAGCAUAUGUGUUAGCUACAAUUUAUCUGUCGGCAAAGGUACCAUAUGCCAACAGAUUGAUGUGUCACCAAAACUUGACUAUGGUGUAGUGAGGAGAGCAGCAUCAGCAACAUCCCGGUGGCCAUGCCCCACGAGGUACGGGUGAAGGGAUUGUCCCAUCCACGCCCCUUCCCCUCGCUGAUGGGCACAGUCACAGUGAUGGCGCCCGGUCCGAGGCAAAUCGCCGCCCUUCGGCCGCCCCCGCUAAUGUCUGCUAGACUACGUUGGUAUUUCCCCAAAGAGGAAGGGAUGAUGCAGCACAUCGACGGUAGGUAUUUCCCUCAGUGAUGAGACCAAGGUUAUCGAACCAGUAGGAGAACCAAGCAACACUACGUAAGCAGCACCUGCACACAAAUAACAAAUACUCGCAACCCAACGUAUUAAAGGGGUUGUCAAUCCCUUACGGGUAAUGGCGCCAGAAAUUGGCAGACGGACGUGAUAAAAAUAUGAUAGAUAGGAUAAAUAGAUCUCGAAUAAAAUAAAUUGCAGCAAGGUAUUUUUAUAUUUUUGGUUUAAUAGAUCUGAAAAAUAAAAGGAAAGGAAAAUAGAUCGCAAAGGCAAAUAUAUUAAGGAAGAGACCCGGGGCCCAUAGGUUUCACUAGUGGUUUCUCUCGAGAAAAAUAACAAAUGGUGGGUGAACAAAUUACUGUUGGGCAAUUGAUAGACUUCAAAUAAUCAUGAUGAUAUUCAGGCAAUGAUCAUUAUAUAGACAUCAUGUCCAAGAUUAGUAGACUGACUCCUGCCUGCAUCUACUAUUAUUACUCCACACAUCGAUCGCUAUCCAGCAUGCAUCUAGUGUAUUAAGUUCAUGGAGAAAAGGAGUAAUGCAAUAAGAAUGAUGACAUGACGUAGACAAGAUCUAUUUAUGUAGAAAUAGACCCCAUCUUGUUAUCCUUAAUGCCAAAGAUACAUAUGUGUCGGUUCCCCUUCUAUCAGUGGGACCAAGCACCGUAAGAUCAAACCCAUCACAAAGCACCUCUUCCCAUUGCAAGAUAAGUAGAUCAAGUUGGCCAAACAAAACCCAAAUAUCAGAGAAGAAAUACGAUGCUAUAAGCAAUCAUGCAUAUAAGAUAUCAAAGAAGACUCAAAUAACUUUCAUGGAUAAAAAGAGAUAGAUCUGAUCAUAAACUCAAAGUUCAUCGGAUCCCAACAAACACACCCCGAAAGAAUUACAUCAUAUGGAUCUCCAAGAGACCAUUUUAUUGAGAAUCAAACGAGAGAGAGGAAGCCAUCUAGCUACUAACUACGGACCCGAAGGUCUACAAAAGACUACUCACGCAUCAUCGGAGAGGCACCAAUGGACAUGAUGAACCCCUCCGCGAUGGUGUCUAGAUUGGAUAUGGUGUUUCUGGAACUUGCGGCGGCUAGAAUUAAUUUUGGUCGACUCCCCUAGGGUUUCUGGAAUAUUGGGGUAUUUAUAGAGUAAAGAGGCGGUCCGAGGGCACCCGAGGUGGGCACAACCCACCAGAGCGUGCCUGGCCUCAAGGGGUGCCCUGGUGGGUUAUGCUCCGCUCGGAGCACCCCCUAGGUGCUUCUUCCGCCCAUUGGAUGUCUUUUGGUCCAAAAAAUCCAGAAAAAGUUUCGCUGUGUUUGGACUCGCUUGAUCUUGAUUACCUGCAAUGUAAAAACAUGCAAAAAAAACAGCAACUAGCACUUGGAACUAUGUCAAUAGGUUAGUACCAAAAAUGAUAUAAAAUGACUAUAAAAUGAUUAUAAAACAUCCAAGAAUGAUAAUAUAACAGUAUGGAACAAUAAAAAAUAAUAGAUAUGUUGGAGAUGUCUCACCCGCCACAGGCGCGACCGCAGCGUGUGCACCUCCCCCGUAGCGAGUCGACCAGGUUGCUAUGCCGAAUGGAGCCACUGGCGCUCAAGCUCCUUCACCACGUCACCACGCCAUCCAAAUGCCCGCCUGGCAACAGCGAGGACCUGGUGCUGCCGCCGUUGGCACCCAGAAGCCGAGCGACGGGGCGGUCCACAUCAUCAUCACCCAUGCCAAGAAGUUCUAUGGAGGCCAUCGCGCAGGCUCAGCUGCUACUGAGGUUUCCGCCAGAGGCCGAGCAGAUGGACGAGUGGCAUGCCACCAUCCAAAGUCUGCUCAGUUUAAUCGAGGCUGGGGGCUCACAACAAACUGUUCCGCCACGGCCUCCCCAGGCGACAACAACGGCUCGUGCUGCCAGUCGUACGGGAGGGGCCACCCCCACAGUAGAGUCCCCACCACCACAACCGGCAUGAGUGUGGCAGAAUCAAGAACCUGAUGACGUCUCGAUGGCCUCUUCUGACCCUUGAGUACAUCCAGGCCACUGGCAAGCCCCGGAAGACAGGAGGAGGGGACACGCGCGCGUCGUCGUCAAGCGAUGCCGCGAGGACCACCGUCGGACCAACGGGUCCGAUGGUCCCGACGUUGAUGAGCUUGUGCUCGUGGUUGGAGGGUGCCUACCUUUCGAGGUUGGGUGCCCUGCCUUUACUCGUGAGCUGCAGCAAGUCCGUUGGCCGUCCGUUCGCACGUUCAAGCUAGAGAUGCCCGAGAAGUAUGAUGGGAGGCUGAACCCGAUAGAGUUUCUGAGCAUCUACACCAUCGUCGUUCAAGUUGCAGGGGCAGAGAUGAGAAGGUGUUUGGAAACUACUUCCCUUUGGCGCUCAAGUCCAAUGUGAGGUCUUAACUGAUGCACCUGCCGGAGAACUCCAUUUCAUCAUGGGCUGACCUGUGCCAUGAGUUCAUUGGCGCCUUCACUGGCGGCCAUCAAGAACCAGGGCGGCCCAGCAACUUGCAGAUCCUCCGGUAGAAAGAAGGAGAGACUCUCUGGAAGUACUUGCAGAGGUUCAACAGAGUCCAUAGGAACAUCCCAAAUAUCCAUCCAACAGCUGUGAUAGCUGCUUCCAAUCCAAUGUGUGCAACCACAAGAUUCGUUCCAAGAUGAAUGUGCGGUUGCCUAAGACUGUGAAGGAGCUUUACACCUUGGUGGACAAGUGUACUCAGAUGGAGGAGGAAAGGAACUGCUGCCUGGUAUACACAAAGGCAUGUGCUGCACCCACAUUGGAUCACGGGCAUUAGUUGGGAAAGCAUUCCGGCAAGGAUUCUAUUGGCCCACAGCCCUCGAAGAUGCGGUUGAGCUAGUCACCAAGUGUGAAUCCUGCCAGUUCCAUUCCAAAAACAUCCACCUUCUUGCACAAGCUCUUCAGACAAUCCCUCUGUCAUGGUCGUUUUCGGUCCGGGGGCUCAAUAUCCUUGGCCCAUUCCCCCGAGCUACCGGGGGCUUUGAAUUCUUGUUCAUCGCUAUCGACAAGUUUACAAAGUGGUCAGAAGUAGCUGCCGUGAGAAAGGUGACUGCUCAGUCAGCUAUCAAGUUCUUGAAGGAAUUGUUGUGCCGUUUUGGAGUCCCGGCAAGGAUCAUUACCGACAACGGCACCCAGUUCACGAGUCGCGCCUUCAUGCAAUAUGUUCAUGCCCUCAUAAGCAAGAUCUCAUUUGCCUCAGAAUGACACCAAAUCGAGCUACUAGGCAGACUCCCUUCUCCCUAGUCUAUGGGGAGAAGCAGUUAUCCCCACGGAACUCAUUUAUGGGUCACCUCGAGUGAUUGCCUAUGAUGAAGUAGUGCAAGAUCAGCACUGGCGUGACGAGUUGUGCUACUCGAGGAGAACCGUCUCCGGGCUACUAUGCGUGUUGCACGCUAUCAGCAAGCCCUGCGUCGCUACCACAACCGUAGGGUUCAUGCCCAAUGUUUUGAGGAAGGCGACCUUGUCCUUAGGCACGUUUAGUCCGCCAAAGGUACAAACAAGUUGACGCCAAAGUGGGAAGGCCCUUACCAGGUAGUUUGAGUCACCAGACCUGGCGUAGACCGUCUGGAGACUGGAGAUGGCAUUCAAUUGCAAAACUCAUGGAUUAUUGAGCAUCUCCGCAAGUUCUACCCGUAAGGCGCGGCUGUCAGGCCCUACUCGGCAGCCACCCUUUUUUAUAGGCCUUGCCUCAGUUGCAUGUAACCCCUUGUACAAAGCUAGGCGCAGACCCUGAGCAACAAAGAAAUAAACGAAGUGUUGGUGGGGCCCCCGACAAGUUGCAUGCAUUCAUGAGCAUUUCAAGAGCAUUGCAUAAGCAUUGCAUAUGCAUAUAGAUAAGGUCGCAUCUUGCAUCAUUCCCAUCUGCAUCAAGUUGCAGGUUCCUACCAUGAGCUUGGCCUCUAAUGGGAUUUGGGAAGAUGAACCAGCACUGUGAUCUCCGGCAAGCCUGACAGAUAAGUUCUACCUCUUGUCCAUAAGUGUUCUGUAAGCUGAAACUUGUGCAUGAGAAAACCUGGCCACUCUAUGAAACUUAGGUGCUCCCAUCCUUGGACUCAAACGUUACUUUGGCCAGGAUGGUCGCAGUGGCCUUUAUUGAAAAGAUGUUGGCGGGGGGCUAGUGAUACGUCUCCUACGUAUCUAUAAUUUUUGAUUGUUCCAUGCUAUUAUAUUAUCUGUUUUGGAUGUUUAAUGGGCUUAUUUAUACACUUUUAUAUUAUUUUUGGGACUAACCUACUAACCCAAGGCGUAGUGCAAAUUGCUAUUUUUUUGCCUAUUUCAGUAUUUCGCAGAAAAGGAAUAUCAAACGGAAUCCAAACGGAAUGAAACCUUCGGGAGAGUUAUUUUUGGAACAAACGCGAUCCAGGGGACUUGGAGUAGAUGUCAAGAAAGAAGCGAGGCGGCCACGGGGUAGGGAGGUGCGCCUGCCCCCUGGGCGCGCCCCCACCCUCGUGGCCCCCUCGCGGCUCCACCGACCUACUUCUUCCUCCUAUAUAUANNNNNNNNNNNNNNNNNNNNNNNNNNNNNNNNNNNNNNNNNNNNNNNNNNNNNNNNNNNNNNNNNNNNNNNNNNNNNNNNNNNNNNNNNNNNNNNNNNNNNNNNNNNNNNNNNNNNNNNNNNNNNNNNNNNNNNNNNNNNNNNNNNNNNNNNNNNNNNNNNNNNNNNNNNNNNNNNNNNNNNNNNNNNNNNNNNNNNNNNNNNNNNNNNNNNNNNNNNNNNNNNNNNNNNNNNNNNNNNNNNNNNNNNNNNNNNNNNNNNNNNNNNNNNNNNNNNNNNNNNNNNNNNNNNNNNNNNNNNNNNNNNNNNNNNNNNNNNNNNNNNNNNNNNNNNNNNNNNNNNNNNNNNNNNNNNNNNNNNNNNNNNNNNNNNNNNNNNNNNNNNNNNNNNNNNNNNNNNNNNNNNNNNNNNNNNNNNNNNNNNNNNNNNNNNNNNNNNNNNNNNNNNNNNNNNNNNAUAUAUACUCCAAAAACAUCCAGGAGCACCACGAAACUCUAUUUCCACCGCCGCAACCUUUUGUACCCAAGAGAUCCCAUCUUGCGGCCUUUUCCGGAGCUCCGCCGGAGGGGGAAUCAAUCACGGAGGGCUUCUACAUCAACACCAUAGCCUCUCCGAUGAUGUGUGAGUAGUUUACCACAGACCUUCGGGUCCAUAGUUAUUAGCUAGAUGGCUUCUUCUCUCUCUUUGGAUCUCAAUACAAAGUUCUCCUCGAUCUUCUUAGAGAUCUAUUCGAUGUAAUUCUUUUUGGGGUGUGUUUGUCAAGAUCUGAUGAAUUGUGGGUUUAUGAUAAAGUUUAUCUAUGAACAAUAUUUGAUUCUUCUCUGAAAUAUUUUAUGUAUGAUUGGUUAUCUUUGCAAGUCUCUUCGAAUUAUUAAUUUGGUUUGGCCUACUAGAUUGAUCUUUCUUGCAAUGGGAGAAGUGCUUAGCUUUGGGUUCAGUCUUGCGGUGUCCUUUCCCAGUUAUAGUAGGGGCAGCAAGGCACGUAUCGUAUUGUUGCCAUAGAGGAUAAAAAGAUGGGAUUUAUAUCAUAUUGCUUGAGUUUAUCCCUCUACAUCAUGUCAUCUUACCUAAUGUGUUGCUCUGUUCUUAUGAACUUAAUAAUCUAGAUGCAUGCUGGAUAGCGGUCGAUGUGUGGAGUAAUAGUAGUGGAUGCAGAAUCGUUUCAGUCUACUUGUCGUGGACAUAAUGCCUAUAUACAUGAUCAUGCCUAGAUAUUCUCAUAAUUAUGCACUUUUCUAUCAAUUGCCCGACAGUAAUUUGUUCACCCACCGUAAUACUUAUGCUAUCUUGAGAGAAGCCACUAGUGAAACCUAUGGCCCCCGGGUCUAUCUUUUAUCAUAUAAGUUUCCAAUCUAUUUUACUUUGCAAUCUUUAGUUUCAAUCUAUAUCAUAAAAAUACCAAAAAUAUUUAUCUUAUUAUCUCUAUCAGAUCUCACUCUCGUAAGUGACCGUGAAGGGAUUGGCAACCCCUUUAUCGCGUUGGUUGCGAGGUUCUUAUUUGUUUGUGUAGGUACGAGGGACUUGCGUGUAGUCUCCUACUGGAUUGGUACCUUGGUUCUCAAAAACUAAGGGAAAUACUUACGCUACUUCGCUGCAUCACCCUUUCUUCUUCAAUGGAAAACCAACGCAGUUCUGAAGAGGUAGCAAGAAUGAUUUCGGGCGCCGUUGCCGGGGAGAUCUACGCACAAGUCAAGACAUACCAAGUACCCAUCACAAACUCUUAUCCCUCGCAUUACAUUAUUUGCCAUUUGCCUCUCGUUUUCCUCUCCACCACUUCACCCUUGCCGUUUUAUUCGCCCUCUUUUUCCCGUUCGCCUAUUUUUUGCUUGCUUCUUUUGUGCUUGUGUGUUGGAUUGUUUGUCACGAUGGAUCAAGAUAAUAAUAAAUUGUGUGACUCUUCCAAUACUAACAAUAAUGAUUUUAUUAGCACUCCGAUUGCUACUCUUACCGAUGUUGAAUCUUGUGAAAUUAAUACUGCUUUGCUGAAUCUUGUCAUGAAAGAUCCGUUUUCUGGCCUUCCUAGUGAAGAUGUCGCUACCCAUCUAAAUAGCUUUGUUGAUUUGUGUGAUAUGCAAAAGAAGAAAUAUGUGGAUAAUGAUAUUGUCAAAUUGAAGCUAUUUCUGUUUUCGCUUAGAGAUCGUGCUAAAACUUGGUUUUCGUCCUUGCCUAAAAUAGUAUUGAUUCUUGGAACAAGUGCAAAGAUGCUUUUAUCUCUAAGUAUUUUCCUCUCGCUAAGAUCAUCUCUCUUAGAAACGAUAUUAUGAAUUUUAAGCAACUUGAUCAUGAGCAUGUUGCACAAGCAUGGGAGAGGAUGAAAUUAAUUAUACGUAAUUGUCCUACACAUGGUUUGAAUUUGUGGAUGAUCAUACAAAAAAAUUAUGCUGGACUAAAUUUUGCUUCUAGAAAUCUUUUAGAUUCGGCCGCGGGAGGCACUUUUAUGGAAAUCACUUUAGGAGAAGCUACCAAACUCCUAGAUAAUAUUAUGGUUAAUUAUUCUCAAUGUCACACCGAAAGAUCUACUAGUAAAAAGGUUCAUGCUAUAGAAGAAACUAAUGUUUUGAGUGGAAAGAUGGAUGAACUUAUGAAAUUGUUUGCUAAUAAGAGUGUUUCUUAUGAUCCUAAUGAUAUGCCUUUGUCUACUUUGAUUGAGAAUAAUAAUGAAUUUAUGGAUGUGAAUUUUGUUGGUAGGAACAAUUUUGGUAACAACGCAUAUAGAGGAAACUCUAAUCCUAGGCCGUAUCCUAGUAAUUCCUUUAAUAAUUAUGAUAAUUCCUACAAUUUUUAUAGAAAUAAUAAUAAGACGCCCUCUUAUUUUGAAUCUAGUAUUAAAGAAUUUAUUAGUUCGCAAAAGAGUUCAAUGCUUUGAUUGAAGAAAAAUUGUCCAAGAUUGAUGAGUUGGCUAGGAACGUGGAUAGAAUUUCUCUUGAUGUUGAUUCUUUGAAACUUAGAUCUAUUCCACCUAAGCACGAUAUCAAUGAGUCUCUCAAAGCCAUGAGAAUUUCCAUUGAUGAGUGCAAAGAAAGAACCGCUAGGAUGUGUGCUAAAAAAGAUCACUUUAUAAAAGCGUGUUCUUCUAGUUUUGAUGAUAAUAAGGAUGAAGAUCUAAUAGUGAUUGAUGUGUCUCCUAUUAAAUCUUUGUUUUGCAAUAUGAAUCUUGAUAAUGAUGGGACUAGAGAUGAGUCAACUUUAGUUAAAAGGCGUCCCAAUGAUUCGGAGUUUUUAGAUCUUGAUGCAAAAAUUGGUAAAAGUGGGAUUGGAGAGGUCAAAACUUUACAUAGCCAUGAACCCACUAUUUUGGAUUUCAAGGAAUUUAAUUAUGAUAAUUGCUCUUUGAUAGAUUGUAUUUCCUUGUUGCAAUUCGUGCUAAAUUUUCUGCAUGCUUAUAGUCAAAAUAAAGCUUUUACCAAGCAUAUCGUUGAUGCUUUAAUGCAAUCUUAUGAAGAAAAGCUUGAAUUAGAAGUUUCUAUCCCUAGAAAACUUCAUGAUGAGUGGGAACCUACUAUUAAAAUUAAAAUUAAAGAUCAUGAAUGCUAUGUUUAUGUGAUUUGGGUGCUAGCGUUUCCAUGAUUCCAGAAACUUUGUGUGGUGUGUUAGGUUUCCGUGAAUUUGAUGAUUGUUCUUUAAAUUUCCACCUCACGGAUUCCACUAUUAAGAAACCUAUGGGAAGGAUUAAUGAUGUUCUUAUUGUUGCAAAUAGGAAUUAUUUGCCCGUAGAUUUCAUUGUUCUUGACAUUGAUUGCAAUCGUAUAUGUCCUAUUAUUCUUGGUAGACCUUUCCUUAGAACGAUUGGUUCAAUUAUUGAUAUGAAAGAAGGGAAUAUCAGAUUCCAAUUUCUGUUAAGGAAAGGCAUGGAACACCUUCCUAGAAAUAAAAUUAAAUUACCUUAUGAUUCUAUUAUGAGAGCCACUUAUGGAUUGCAUAACAAAGAUGAUAAUACCUAGAUCUAUUCUUGCUUUUAUGCCUACCUAGCGGAGUUAAACGAUAGCGCUUGUUGGGAGGCAACCCAAUUUUAUUUUUGUUUCUUGCUUUUCGGUUAUGUUUAGUAAUAAAUAAUUCAUCUAGCCUCUGUUUAUAUGCGUUUUUGGGGUUACAGAAUGUUUCUAAACCUACAGUGAAUCUAUGGCUAGUAUUGGAGGUUAUGAACCAUAGAGAAGUUGGAAUACAGUAGGUUUAAAACCAAUAUAAAUAAAGAAUGAGUUCAUUACAGUAGAUUAAGUGUGGUUUGUUUUCUUAUACUAAUGGAGCUCAUGAGAUUUUCUGUUGAGUUUUCUGUUGUGAAGUUUUCAAGUUUUGGGUAAAGAUUUGAUGGAUUAUGGACUAAGGAGUGGCAAGAGCCUAAGAUUGGGGAUGACCAAGGCACCCCAAGGUAAAAUUCAAGGACAACCAAAAGCCUAAGUGUAACGCCCUCGAUGCGGCUAUAUCUCCCACGUGUCGAAGCACGACUUAGAGGCAUAACCGCAUUGAAAGCAAUGUCGCAAGUGAGGUAAUCUUCGCAAACAACCCAUGUAAUAUAUAAGGGAAAGAUACAUAGUUGGCUUACAAUCGCCACUUCACACAAUUACAUGAAUAAAGCAUUACAUCAACCAGAUACAAUCAAGGUCCGACUACGGAACCAGAAUAAAAGAAGAACCCCAAAAGCGACAAAGGUCCCCGAUCGGCCCCAACUGGGCUCCACUACUGACCAACUAGAACGAAACAACACAAAGGGAAAGAUCUUCAUCGAGCUCCACCUGAGCUUGGUUGUGUCAUCUGCACGGACUCAUCGGCACCUGCAAGCUGGUUUUGGAAGUAUCUGUGAGCCACGGGGACUCAACAAUCUCGCACCCUCGCGAUCAAGACUAUUUAAGCUUAUGGGUAAGGUAAAGGUAUGAGGUGGAGCUGCAGCAAGUGACUAGCAUAUAUGGUGGCUAACAUACGCAAAAGAGAGCGAGAAGAUGAGGCAAAGCACGAUCGAGGAAACUAUGAUCAAGAAGUGAUCCUAGAACAACCUACGUCAAGCAUAACUCCAACACCGUGUUCACUUCCCGGACUCUGCCGGAAAGAGACCAUCACGGUUACACACGCGGUUGAUUCAUUUUAAUUAAAUUAAGGUUCAAGUUAUCUACAACCGAACAUUAACAAAUUCCCAUCUGCCCAUAACCGCGGGCACGGCUUUCGAAAGUUCAAAUCCCUGCAGGGGUGUCCCAACUUAGCCCAUGACAAGCUCUCACGGUCAACGAAGGAAUAGACCUCCUCCCGAGACAUUCCGAUCAGACUUGGUAUCCCGGUACAACAAGACAUCCUCGACAAUGGUAAAACAAGACCAGCAAGACCGCCCGAUGCGCCGACAUCCUGAUAGGAGCUGCACAUAUCUUGUUUUCAGGGCAACACUGGAUGAACACUACAUACAGCUAAAACCAGCCCUCAAGUUUCCUCGAGGUGGCGCCGCAAGUGGCUCUAGUUUGGACCAACACUUAGACAAGCACNNNNNNNNNNNNNNNNNNNNNNNNNNNNNNNNNNNNNNNNNNNNNNNNNNNNNNNNNNNNNNNNNNNNNNNNNNNNNNNNNNNNNNNNNNNNNNNNNNNNNNNNNNNNNNNNNNNNNNNNNNNNNNNNNNNNNNNNNNNNNNNNNNNNNNNNNNNNNNNNNNNNNNNNNNNNNNNNNNNNNNNNNNNNNNNNNNNNNNNNNNNNNNNNNNNNNNNNNNNNNNNNNNNNNNNNNNNNNNNNNNNNNNNNNNNNNNNNNNNNNNNNNNNNGAUGCGCGACUCCCAAGGGAAAAAUGCUAGGUGGCAAAUGGUAAAACCAAUGUUGGGCAUUGCUGGAGGAGCUUUACUUAAGGCGAACUGUCAAUGGUUCCCAUUAUAGCCCAACCGCGUAAGGGACACAAAAUCCGGGAACAUAACACCGAUAUGACGGAAACUAGGGCGGCAAGAGUGGAACAAAACACCAGGCAUAAGGCCGAGCCUUCCACCCUUUACCAAGUAUAUAGAUGCAUUAAUUAAAUAAGAGAUAUUGUGAUAUCCCAACAAAAUAUAUCCAUGUUCCAACACGGAACAAGCUCCAAUCUUCACCUGCAACUAACAACGCUAUAAGAGGGGCUGAGCAAAGCGGUAACAUAGCCAAACAACAGUUUGCUAGGAUAAGGUGGGUUAGGGGCUUGGUUCAACAAUAUGGGAGGCAUGAUAAGCAACUGGUAGGUAUCGUAGCAUAGGCAUAGCAAAAGAGCAAGCAACUAGCAAGCAAAGAUAGAAGUGAUUUCGAGGGUAUGGUCAUCUUGCCUGAAAUCCCGCAAGGAAGAAGAACGAGUCCAUGAAGAAGACAAACGAACGUAGUCGAACGGGUCCUCACAAACACGACGUUACCGGAUACCGAGAAGAAGCAACACCGGAAAGAAAGCAAACAACUUAGUAAACAACCCACACAUAACAUGGCAUGAUGCACAACCAAGUAUGAUGCAUGUCCGGUUUAAUGAAGCAUGGCAUGGCAAAGUGCACAAACAAUCCUACAAAUUAAGUGGAGCACAAUAUGCAACGAGUUGCAUAUUGACGAAACACCACAUUCAAGUUAUUUAGUUUCGAUCUUGUUUAUGUACCCAACAAUAUUAAAUGUUGUUAAACAUGGCAAGAGAGGUGAAGCAAAAUAAAACUAUAUCAUCUAAACAAUUUAAAUGGGGUCGGGCAUAACAAACAACAAAUCCGGUAAAUCCCCAUAUGCAUUAGUAAAUUAAUGCAAACGACAAUUUAACCAUUCUUGAAGUUGUUAUCAUGAUGCGGAUGACAUGCAAGUUUUAUGCAAUAUUUAUGAAUAAGUUGAUAAGAGCAUAUUAUGAAGCAUUUGUCACCGUGGUGGAAGGAAAAAGAGUGCCACGGCAAUGAUAACGAUAACGGUGCCACGACAGCGUUCCAGUUCCGGUAACUCAAUUGAGAUACCGAUGCAAAGGAGAAGUGUGCGGAUGCGCGGAACAUGCUAGAGAUGGUGCGGUGAUCCCGACUACCGGGUUCCCACGAGUUAGUGGCAUGGAAAACGAGUGACAAUUCGGACACGGUGCAAACGGUGCAUCUCAUACAACACAUGCAUUCGGCCCACAGUGGUCGUCUCAGGGUUAUACCUUCGAAGCGUGCAUUUCGAGGCGGUUCAAAAACGUCAAGGGAAGUAGUCAUUCACGGGUUAUAAUGGAAGUAGUGGUACACGAUUUGUAGAUGUUCAGGGUCACGAUGAGGAACUUGACGUCCAAGGGAUCUUCGAGGGUUGGCGGUAGUGGUACACGUUUGGCGUUUCGUAGUCGUUCGAGUCAUCGGUAGAGAAACUUGGUGGUCCAUGUAGUCGAACUUGGCGCAUCCGAGGGGUACAUGGUGAAAUCACGCAGUCAUACACGGGUCGUAGAGGUACUUGGCGUCCCUGAGUCGAGGGUAGGGGGAGGCUAGGUUGCCUGAAAUGGACAAGGGGGUGUCCAUAUAUAGCCAAAAGAGCUAGGGUUAGGGGAUUUAGGGGGUUUUCGGACCCUCCGAUCGCGAUCCGAUGGCCCCGGUCGUGAGGAUGGAGUAGGUGGGCUGCAGGUGAGUGGAAGUGGGCUGUGGAGAGCGGGUUGUGCUGAGAGAAGAGAAGAGAGAGAGACCCGGCGACUGUUUCCGGAGACCGAAAACGUCCGACGUUAGAGCGGCUAUAUUGCCGCUAUAGUUUAACCGUUGGGCUAUCAAACGAGCUCCGAACGCGAUGAAACUUGGCGGGCGGUCUACUGACAACAAAACAACACCACACGCCAACUUUCAGCCCAUUCCGAGAACAUUUUCCGGCCACUUAUAAAAUACUAUUUCGGACAUGCCGCGGGCGCGUGCAGGUGUGUCUGGGCUCAGAACGGACAACGGACGGAACGAGGAGAACCUGGACGAAUGCAAGUUUUGAAAACAUGAUGAUGCAAUGCGGAUGAUGACAUGGUGAGAUGCAACACGCAAGCAAAUGACAAGGCAACAACAACGAAUAACUCGAAGACACCUGGCGCAACGGUCUCGGGGCAUUACAACACUCCACCACUACGAGAGGAUCUCGUCCCGAGAUCUAGAAUGGCACCGGAGGGACAAACGGAAGAGAAAGAGAAGAGGCAAAAGUAAGUUGCUCCUUUGACAAACGAGUGAAACCAAAGAACCUUGAAAAGGUUAAGCCAUUUCGAGAAAAAGAAUAACGGAGAUGACAAAUUUGAAAACACUCCAUUAGAAAAGAGGGACAAAGAACACUGCGAAAAACCUUGAGGUUGAAGGGCAAGAUGUAUAUUGAAACCACUCCGGUUAGAACAAGAUAGAGAAGGAUUAAGAAUGAUAUAAUUUGAGCAGCACUCCGUCUGAGAAGGGAGGCAAAACUUGGCAGAAUGGGAAAAAUUCGAAAAGCAGGCACGACACUCCGGUUAAAAGGAUAAGGACGAAAAGAACACGAUCCUGACAAAACAAGAAGAUGGGUUGCAGAGAGCAACAUCACAAUGCCUCCGGAACGAAAGAGUAGAGUAAAGAUAAUUGAGACAAACGAAUGUAGAAGACAAUGCCAACUUCUGCUACAAAAGAUCCUGAAAAGGCAUCUAUAGGAGAAGGGUUGAACGGAGUUGUUGGAAACCAACAACGAAAAGAAUAAGCUUGAUAUGGUCUUAUGGAAUACAUCUCAAAUUAUGAGGUGAUAACCUGCCACUCACGGAAAAAGAGUUGUAUUGGAAUGAACAAGGAGACGAGAAACUUAUCAUCGGGAGGUUAAAAGAAGAACUUGGGUCACUUAUGAGUACCAUAGAUAGCAACAAUCCUUAGGGAAAGCUUUAGGUGACGUAUAACCCAAGAUACUUCAAUGACGAGAUUGAUGGAUUUAAAAUACCUCAUUCUUAAUAAUAUGUGAAUCAUGAAACAUGAACUCAAAUUAUCAAGAAUGACAUAAUACCACCUCGAAUGGUACGGUUGAAAGAAUUGCACUCCAGAUUGCAAGAUGAAGAAUGCUUGAGCUCCUCUGAAAAUAAUCUCGAUGGACACUUUGAGAAGGAAUUAUGUCCUUGAUGAACCAACAUGUAGAGCCUCCCUGAAGAACUCUGGUAAACAAAAGAAUGAUCAAACGGAAGGAAAGAGAAGUUGAAAACACAAGGUGAAUCUUUGUAAUGAUUUAGACGGAUCUUCGCGACGAGAUAAUGCGAAAAAUCUAGGAACUCUGGAAAAGAAAGAUGAAGCAUCUCGAACUAAGAAUGUGAUACGAUGAACCUCCGGAAUAAAGAAUUGAAUUUACUUGAUGAAACAAGAAUAAGAAUUACAUUAUGCUUAUCCUUCACCAAUUUAGAUUGAUGACAAGCAAUGGAUUUGGCAUACUACUUAUUCUCGUAGAAAGGAUUAAGAUAGAUAUUGCAUAAAUUUGAGAAGGUCUUCAACGAACCACCGGUAGGAUGAAAGAACGAAUGAAUCGAUACAAUAACAAACGAAGAGAAAUCUUGAAUGAGCCACCGGUAAGAAUUGAAAAUGAACGAAGAGAAGAUAAAGAAACACCGGGAAGAAUUAUAAAAUGAACGAAGAUGCUUGAGAGAAUUUAGAUCCAUGAGAACGAAGAGAUUACGAGCUGAUUAGAGAGUCCUUGAUUUAAACACCGGUAUGAUUUAGAGUAAGAGAGCUGAAAGCUGAGAAUGAAUAAUUCUGAAUUGAUAGACUCUGGAUAAUCGAACUGAGAAGACUCUUGAGUUGCUCCAGAUAGGUGAAAAGAAUUACUCACGAUCAAAACAAUUAUGAGAGGAUGGUCUCGAACUAGAACCACGAAUCUCUGAGAGAACGGAUAAGAUAUGGAGGAAAAACUCUUCUUCGGUCUUCAAAUGUUGAGAAUGACGACGAGAAACACCACCGUGAAUUGUUGAGAAACUCCGGAAUAAAGAAGAAUAGGCAAGUUGAACCAAUGAUGAAAAGAAUUUGACAGAUCUUGGAGAAAAAACAUUUGACUGAUGAUAAAUCAUUCUUAUGUCAAACUUUAGAAAAGAAUUUGAGAAGCUCCGGAAAAAUUAGAAGAGUCAGGUAAGAUCCUGGGUAAAGACCUGUGGGUUAGGGCCCACUCAAAAGAAACACCGUUGAACGAUUUAAAAGAGAGGUUGCACCGGUUGAAUUAAAUGACUUGAAUGAGAAAACAACCUCGAGAUAUCUUCAGCAAUCCGGAACCAAAAGAAUAGCGAGAGGUGAAAGAUUAUUUGGAGCACCGGCAUGAGAAAAAAACAUUUGAAACGAGGAAAAGAAUAUGAUCAACAAAGCUUGACUUGAAACCACCGGAGAAGAAAAUGAGUGAAGAGUGACGAACUUGAAUCUCCGUUAGAAUCUUCAUGAGAAUCACCAGAUAAGGAUAUUGACGGAAAAGGAUGGAGAGACUUCACAAGAGUAAAAGGAUACUUGAUAAGAUAUAUGAGUCCUUGAAGAAACAAGGGUGGGAGGGUGGGAAAACAAAGGCAACUUGGAGGCGAAUGAAACAAACACCGUAGAGAAGAACUGAUCAUUGAUCUUACUGAUGUUGAAAUGAUCGGAUCCAGUUGAAGAGAAACACACCGGUUGAAAAGGAUUGACAUGACAAACUCGAUGAUUGAGAAGGAUUAGUAUUCACAUUGGAGUAUGAGAACACCAUUUAGGAAAGGUAUGGAAUCAACAUUUGACUUCGAAGCAACUCGAAUACCACAGCUCAAAAACAAAACAAAGGAUUGGCUUGCAGAAUAAGCCGGAACAAAACAUAUGAUAGAGAUUUCGUCCGAAGUUUUCGUGGUGGGGCCUACACGGGCUCGAUCGUACAGCACCAUCAUGUACAAGGCAGUGCACAUGACAUACGAAGCGUCCCCGAGUUGGCAUAGCCAAGGACUCUUUAAGACACAACGAGACCACUGUAAAACCGACCGUGAAUAGGCGGACCACUAGACGUCGAACCCCAAUUUCAUAUCAUACAUCUGUCGGAAAGAUAUUCUAAGAGCUACUUGAAUUCCCACCUAUGAAACUCCGAAAUUUUCUGGUUAUGCAAUCAGGUGUUGGGGAUACAGGGGAAGCAUAAUAUCUCACCCAAAACUAGCAAAUCCUACAUCCAGCUGUAUCCAUCCUUCAACACAUAACCAAGAAACCUUCGGAAAUCAUCUACCUCAACCUUCGAAAAGCAUCUGUUAUACAAGUUAUGGCAAUACUCCCGAACUCCCGCCCCAGUACUGGGUGGUGUCGAGGUUAUCUCACCAACGAACUGCAUAAAAGAGAUUUUCGAUGUCGGCGUACUAAACUCAGGUAUUCCAGAACUGCAACGAUAAAAUUAUGACGACAACACCUUAGAGCUCAACUCCCCGGGACACUUCCACAAAACCCCUGACAGGAGGCACCAAGAUAAUGUUCUCGUCAUAAAACCAUCGGAACGAUUCUAAGAUACCCACGUGAUCCUAAAAAAAAUUAGUGAAAUUUCAGAAGAGAAGAGUCAAAACCCUACGUCAGGAUGCCUUACCAGAGCAAUGAGGAGACUGGGAAGUAAAAAGAAUUCCUAAACUCUCCGAUAUAUAAUUCCUAAAUGACUCAAAACAUUUUUCUAGACACAACUCGGUCGCUAAUAACGAUCAAGCAAUGGGGCUCCUAAGGUCGGGGAAGGCUCUGAUUACCAACUUGUAACGCCCUCGAUGCGGCUAUAUCUCCCACGUGUCGAAGCACGACUUAGAGGCAUAACCGCAUUGAAAGCAAUGUCGCAAGUGAGGUAAUCUUCGCAAACAACCCAUGUAAUAUAUAAGGGAAAGAUACAUAGUUGGCUUACAAUCGCCACUUCACACAAUUACAUGAAUAAAGCAUUACAUCAACCAGAUACAAUCAAGGUCCGACUACGGAACCAAAAUAAAAGAAGAACCCCAAAAGCGACAAAGGUCCCCGAUCGACCCCAACUGGGCUCCACUACUGACCAACUAGAACGAAACAACACAAAUGGCAAGAUCUUCAUUGAGCUCCACCUGAGCUUGGUUGCGUCAUCUGCACGGACUCAUCGGCACCUACAAGCUGGUUUUGGAAGUAUCUGUGAGCCACGGGGACUCAGCAAUCUCGCACCCUCGCGAUCAAGACUAUUUAAGCUUAUGGGUAAGGUAAAGGUAUGAGGUGAAGCUGCAGCAAGCGACUAGCAUAUAUGGUGGCUAACAUACGCAAAAGAGAGUGAGAAGAGGAGGCAAAGCACGAUCGAGGAAACUAUGAUCAAGAAGUGAUCCUAGAACAACCUACGUCAAGCAUAACUCCAACACCGUGUUCACUUCCCGGACUCUACCGGAAAGAGACCAUCACGGUUACACACGCGGUUGAUUCAUUUUAAUUAAAUUAAGGUUCAACUUAUCUACAACCGGACAUUAACAAAUUCCCAUCUGCCCAUAACCGCGGGCACGGCUUUCGAAAGUUCAAAUCCUUGCAGGGGUGUCCCAACUUAGCCCAUGACAAGCUCUCACGGUCGACGAAGGAAUAGACCUCCUCCCGAGACAUUCCGAUCAGACUCGGUAUCCCGGUACAACAAGACAUCCUCGACAAUGGUAAAACAGGACCAGCAAGACCGCCCGAUGCGCCGACAUCCUGAUAGGAGCUGCACAUAUCUCGUUCUCAAGGCAACACCGGAUGAACACUACGUACAGCUAAAACCAACCCUCAAGUUUNNNNNNNNNNNNNNNNNNNNNNNNNNNNNNNNNNNNNNNNNNNNNNNNNNNNNNNNNNNNNNNNNNNNNNNNNNNNNNNNNNNNNNNNNNNNNNNNNNNNNNNNNNNNNNNNNNNNNNNNNNNNNNNNNNNNNNNNNNNNNNNNNNNNNNNNNNNNNNNNNNNNNNNNNNNNNNNNNNNNNNNNNNNNNNNNNNNNNNNNNNNNNNNNNNNNNNNNNNNNNNNNNNNNNNNNNNNNNNNNNNNNNNNNNNNNNNNNNNNNNNNNNNNNNNNNNNNNNNNNNNNNNNNNNNNNNNNGAUGACCCUCGGGAUGUGCGACUCCCAAGGGAAAAGGCUAGGUGGCAAAUGGUAAAACCAAUGUUGGGCAUUGCUGGAGGAGCUUUACUUAAGGCGAACUGUCAAGGGGUUCCCAUUAUAGCCCAACCGCGUAAGGGACGCAAAAUCUGAGAACAUAACACCGAUAUGACGGAAACUAGGGCGGCAAGAGUGGAACAAAACACCAGGCAUAAGGCCGAGCCUUCCACCCUUUACCAAGUAUAUAGAUGCAUUAAUUAAAUAAGAGAUAUUGUGAUAUCCCAACAAAAUAUAUCCAUGCUCCAACACGGAACAAGCUCCAAUCUUCACCUGCAACUAACAACACUAUAAGAGGGGCUGAGCAAAGCGGUAACAUAGCCAAACAACGGUUUGCUAGGAUAAGGUGGGUUAGGGGCUUGGUUCAACAAUAUGGGAGGCAUGAUAAGCAACUGGUAGGUAUCGUAGCAUAGGCAUAGCAAAAGAGCGAGCAACUAGCAAGCAAAGAUAGAAGUGAUUUCGAGGGUAUGGUCACCUUGCCUGAAAUCCUGCAAGGAAGAAGAACGAGUCCAUGAAGAAGACAAAUGGACGUAGUCGAACGGGUCCUCACAAACACGACGUUAUCGGAUACCGAGAAGAAGCAACACCGGAAAGAAAGCAAACAACAUAGUAAACAACCCACACAUAACAUGGCAUGAUGCACAACCAAGUAUGAUGCAUGUCCGGUUUAAUGAAGCAUGGCAUGGCAAAGUGCACAAACAAUCCUACAAAUUAAGUGGAGCGCAAUAUGCAACGAGUUGCAUAUUGACGAAACACCACAUUCAAGUUAUUUAGUUUCGAUCUUGUUUAUGUACUCAACAAUAUUAAAUGUUGUUAAACAUGGAAAGAUAGGUGAAGCAAAAUAAAAUUAUAUCAUCUAAACAAUUUAAAUGGGGCCGGGCAUAACAAACAACAAAUCCGGUAAAUCCCCAUAUGCAUUAGUAAAUUAAUGCAAACGACAAUUUAACCAUUCUUGAAGUUGUUAUCAUGAUGCGGAUGACAUGCAAGUUUUAUGCAAUAUUUAUGAAUAAGUUGAUAAGAGCAUAUUAUGAAGCAUUUGUCACCGUGGUGGAAGGAAAAAGGGUGCCACGGCAACGAUAACGAUAACGGUGCCACGACAGCGUUCCAGUUCCGGUAACUCGAUUGAGUUACCGAUGCAAAGGAGAAGUGUGCGGAUGCGCGGAACAUGCUAGAGAUGGUGGGGUGAUCCCGACUACCGGGUUCCCACGAGUUAGUGGCAUGGAAAACGGGUGACAAUUCGGACACGGUGCAAAUGGUGCAUCUCAUACAACACAUGCAUUCGGCCCAAAGUGGUCGUCUCAGGGUUAUACCUUCGAAGCGUGCAUUUCGAGGCGGUUCAAAAACGUCGAGGGAAGUAGUCGUUCACGGGUUAUAAUGGAAGUAGUGGUACACGAUUUGUAGAUGUUCAGGGUCACGACGAGGUACUUGACGUCCAAGGGAUCUUCGAGGGUCGAUGGUAGUGGUACACGUUUGGAGUUUCGUAGUCGUUCGAGUCAUCGGUAGAGAAACUUGGUGGUCCAUGUAGUCGAACUUGGCGCAUCCGAGGGGUACUUGGUGAAAUCACGCAGUCAUACACGGGUCGUAGAGGUACUUGGCGUCCCUGAGUCGAGGGUAGGGGGAGGCUAGGUUGCCUGAAAUGGACAAGGGGGUGUCCAUAUAUAGCCAAAAGAGCUAGGGUUAGGGGAUUUAGGGGGGUUUUCGGACCCUCCGAUCGCGAUCCGAUGGCUCCGGUCGUGAGGAUGGAGUAGGUGGGCUGCAAGCGAGUGGAAGUGGGUUGUGGAGAGCAGGUUGUGCUGAGAGAAGAGAAGAGAGAGAGACCCGACGACUGUUUCCGGAGACCGAAAAAGUCCGACGUUAGACCGGCUAUAUUGCCGCUAUAGUUUAACCGUUGGGCUAUCAAACGAGCUCCGAACGCGAUGAAACUUGGCGGGCGGUCUACUAACAACAAAAAAACACCACACACCAACUUUCAGCCCAUUCCGAGAACAUUUUCCGGCCACUUAUAAAAUACUAUUUCGGACAUGCCACGGGCGCGUGCAGGUGUGUCUGGGCUCAAAACAGAUAACGGACGGAACAAGGAGAACCCGGACGAAUGCAAGUUUUGAAAACAUGAUGAUGCAAUGCGGAUGAUGACAUGGCGAUAUGCAACACGCAAGCAAAUGACAAGGCAACAACAACGAAUAACUCGAAGACACCUGGCGCAAUGGUCUCGGGGCGUUACAAUAAGCUUGGGGAUGCCCCGGAAGGCAUCCCCUCUUUUGUCUUUGUUCAUCGGUAACUUUACUUGAGGCUAUAUUUUUAUUCACCACAUGAUAUGUGUUUUGCUUGGAGUGUCUUGUAUGAUUUGAGUCUUUGCUUUUUAGUUUACCAAAAUCAUCCUUGCUGUACACACCUUUUGGGAGAUACAAACAUGAAUUGGAAUUUAUUAGAAUACUCUAUGUGCUUCACUUAUAUCUUUUGAGCUCGAUAAUUUUGCUCUAGUGCUUCACUUACACUAGUAGAAAAAGGGUCAAAUGUGCGACACAUUAGUCCCGGUUUGUAACAGAACCGGCACUAAUGUGUCCAUUAGUGCCGGUUCCAAUGGCUAGGCGGGAGGAGCUCUUUAGUACCUGUUCGUGGCGAACCUUUAGCACCGGUUCGUGCCACGAACCGAUACUAAUGAGUGGUGGCAGGAUGUUGUCAGAGUGGGGCCCCUCCAGCACCUUUACUACCGGUUCGUGCCACGAACCAGUACUAAAGGUCGUCCUAUAUGAACCCUUCGUCCACCAGCACUCUGUUCUUCCCCCUUUCCCCUCUCCCUCUCCUCUGUUCUUCCCUUCUUCCUCUCGAGUUCAUCACAAAAUUUGCCCCAAAUUUGUCAAGAUUUGCAAGCCCCCAUCCAUUCAAAUGAUCACAAAGGUUAGCAACUUUAUCCUUUCAUCUCUCAUUGCUAGAUUAGCUCUUGCAUUGGUUUAUAUAGUGAUUAAUUGUGGGUUUUAGUAAUUUGGGAGGAAUUAUAUGUGGUAGUAUUUGAUUUAUAUGCAAACUGAGGUCAAAAUAACACUUAGUUUGCAUAUGUAGGUGUGGUUUACUUAGUGCCUUCUAAAUCUCCGUCGUAACCACCGUCGAUCGCCCGCACCGUCCCGUCGCCAGCACCACCUUGUGGUGAGCCUCUUGUUCAUGAAAUUUUAUAUAAAAAUUGAUGUUUGUGUGAUUUGGAUAUAUAGUUACUUGUAUAAUUAUAUUACACGUACGUUGUUUGUUAUACAUAGUGCCAUGGUUUUGAUGUCCGUCCCCGUCGGCCCUCGCCCUUGUUAUGAUUCGGAUGUGGUAUAUUCUCUUUUAGAACUAUUUGUUGCAUUUCGUGUUUAUGACAAAUUAUGCCCAUCAAGCUGACAUAGAUAUUUGUAUGUAGGAGGUAGUUGAACCGGAAAUUCCAACCGACCCUAUUGUCGAGAGGUUAAAUUUAGUUGAAAGAGAAAAUGAGGAUUUGAAAGAAAAAUUGAAAAGAAUUGAGGGGGAGAAGAUGGAAUUGGAGUUGCAUGUUGCCAAUGUCGUCGAUGAUCACAAGAUUAAGAUGGAGAAAAUGCGCUUGAAGAUUAGAAAGAUUAGAAAAUAUGCCAUUCAUAGUGAGGCUUGGUAUCAUUAUGUUGUUGGAUCAAUUGUUACCUUAGUUGCGAUCUUGAUCGCAUUUGUUGUUGCAUUUAAAUUCAUUAGCUAGAGAGUUAUUUGUUUGUUGCAUUUAAGUGUUGUAUGAACUUUAUGUAUGAACUUUAUGUAUUGUAUUAAUUUGGUGUUUUCGGUGUUGUGUAUUGAAGUUGAGUCGGCAAUAGAUGUACGAUGACCGAUGCUCUCCCGAGUUCAUUAAUGACGUGCAUACUUUUCUGCUUGCGGCUGAGGCAAACAAGCAGGCGGAUAGUUUUAUGCCUUGUCCAUGUGCUGGCUGUAAGAAUGGUCACAAUUACUCUAUGUCAAGAACCAUUCACGUCCACCUGUUUGAGUCCGGUUUCAUGCCCCACUAUAAUGUUUGGACCAAGCAUGGAGAAAGAGGGGUUAUGAUGGAAGACAAUGAAGCAGAAGAGGAUGACGACAGCUAUCCUAGCCAUGGGUUCCCUGAAUACGAUGAUACAACAAUGAGGGAAGAAGCUGAGCCGGUAAUGCGGGAAGAAGCUGAGCCGGCAAUGCGGGAAGAAGCUGAAGAAGAGGCAUCAGAUGAGCACGUUGAUGAUCUAGGUCGGGCCAUUGCCGAUGCAAAGAGAAAUUGCGCAAGUGAUUUGGAGAAGAAGAAGUUGUAGCGCAUGUUAGAGGAUCACAAAAAAUUGUUGUACCCGAAUUGCCUAGGUGACAAGAAAAAGCUAGGCACCACACUGGAAUUGCUACAAUGGAAGGCACAGAAUGGUGUAUCUGACAAGGGAUUUGGAAAGUUGCUGGUAAUGAUAAAGAAUAAGCUUCCAAAGGACAACGAAUUGCCCGAGAGUACGUACGAAGCAAAGAAGGCUGUCUUCCCUCUAGGGUUAGAGGUGCAGAAGAUACAUGCAUGCCCUAAUGAUUGCAUCCUCUACCGCGGUGAGUACGAGGAUUUGAACGCUUGCCCGGUAUGAUGUGCAUUGCGCUAUAAGACCAGCCGCGAUGACCCUGGUGAUGUCGAGGGCGAGCGCCCCAGGAAGAAGAUUCCUGCCAAGGUGAUGUGGUAUGCUCCUAUAAUACCACGGUUGAAACGUUUGUUCCAAAACAAAGAGAAUGCCAAGGCGAUGCGAUGGCACAGAGAAGACCAUAAGAAAGACGGAAAGUUGAGAGUACCCGCUGAUGGGUCACAGUGGAGAAAAAUCGAAAGAAAGUACAGGAAGGAGUUUGCAGAUGACACAAGGAACGUAUGGUUUGGUCUAAGCGCAAAUGGCAUUAAUCCUUCUGGGGAGCAGAGCAGCAACCAUAGCACCUAGCAUGUGACUCUAUGUUUGUAUAACCUUCCUCCUUAGUUGUGCAUGAAGCGGAAGUUCAUUAUGAUGCCAGUGCUCAUCCAAGGCCCUAAGCAAUCCGGCAACGACAUUGAUGUGUACCUAAGGCCAUUAGUUGAAGAACUCUUACAACUGUGGAAUGGAACAGGUGUACGUGCGUGGGAUGAGCACAUGGGGGAAGAAUUUGACCUAAAGGCGUUGCUGUUCAUGACAAUCAAUGAUUGGCCUGCUCUCAGUAACCUUUCAGGACAGACAAACAAGGGAUACCGCGCAUGCACGCACUGUUUGGACGAUACCGACAGUAUAUAUUUGGCUAAUUGUAAGAAGAAUGUGUACCUGGGACAUCGUCGAUUUCUUCCAAGCAGGCAUCCCGUAAGAAAGAAAGGCAAGCAUUUCAAAGGUGAGGCGGAUCACCGGACGAAGCCUCGCCACCGUACUGGUGCUGAUGUACAUGAUAUGGUCAAGGAUUUGAAGGUGGUCUUUGGAAAGGGUCCUGGUGGACAACGUGUUCCGAAUGACGCUGACGGACACGCACCCAUGUGGAAGAAGAAAUCUAUAUUUUGGGACCUGCCCUAUUGGAAAGACCUAGAGGUCCGCUCCGCAAUCGACAUAAUGCACGUGACGAAGAAUCUUUGUGUGACCCUGCUUGGCUUCUUAGGCGUGUAUGGGAAGACAAAAGAUACACCUGAGGCACGGGAGGACCAGCAAUGUAUGCACGGAAAAGACAACAUACAUCAGGGUCAUGCAAGCUAUGCUCUUACCAAAGAAGAGAAGGAAAUCUUCUUUGAAUGUCUGCUCAGUAUUAAGGUACCGUUUGGCUUCUCGUCGAAUAUAAAGGGAAUAAUAAACAUGGCAGAGAAAAAUUUCCAGAACCUAAAGUCUCAUGACUGCCACGUGAUUAUGACACAGCUGCUUCCGGUUGCAUUGAGGGGGCUUCUACCGAAAAACGUUCAAUUAGCCAUUGUGAAGCUAUGUGCAUUCCUCAAUCCAAUCUCUCAGAAGGUAAUCGAUCUAGAAAUCAUACCAAGGUUAGAGAAUGAUUUGGUGCAAUGUCUUGUCAGUUUAGAGUUGGUGUUCCCACCAUCCUUCUUCAACAUCAUGACACACAUCCUAGUUCACCUAUGCGAAGAGAUUAACGUUUUGGGUCCUGUAUUUCUACACAAUAUGCUCCCCUUUGAGAGGUUCAUGUGAGUCUUAAAGAAAUAUGUUCAUAACCGUGCUAGGCCAAAAGGAAGCAUCUCCAAGGGCCAUGAAAAUGAGGAGGUCAUUGAGUUUUGUAUUUACUUUAUUCCUGACCUUAAGCCGAUUGGUGUUCCUGAAUCGCGGCAUAAGGGCAGACUGGAUGGAAAAGGCACGCUAGGAGGGGAACAAAUAAUAUGUAUGGACGGACAUUCUCUCACUGAAGCACACUACACAGUUCUACAGAAUUCCGCCUUGGUGGCUCCAUAUAUGGAUGAACACAAGAAUUUUCUACGCUCCAAACACCCGGAGCGGUCUGAUGACUGGAUUACACAUGAACAAACCAGGAGUUUCGCCAGCUGGUUGCAGACACGUACCAUGCAUGACGCCUCUAUUGAAGAUGACAUGUACUUGCUGUCUCAAUUACCAUAUUCGAAUAUAAUGACUUUCAAAGGGUACGAGAUAAAUGGCAAUACAUUUUACACGAUCGCCCAAGAUAAGAAGAGCACCAACCAAAACAGUGGUGUCCGCUUUGAUGCAGAAACCAAGAUGGGAAAGGAAACAUAUUAUGGUUAUAUACAAGACAUAUGGGAACUUGACUAUCGACGUGGUUUGAAGGUCCCUUUGUUUCGGUGCAAAUGGGUCAAUAUAACACGAGGCAGGGUAACGGAAGACCCGCAGUACGGAAUGGAAACAGUGGAUCUCAACAAUCUUGCGUAUGAAGAUGAACCAUUUGUCCUAGCCAAUGAUGUGGCACCGGUUUUCUAUGUGAAGGACAUGUCUACCAAGCUUAGAAAAAGAAAAGAUAAGGAAGCGAAUGCAUCGUACGAUGAGCCAAAGCGGCACAUAGUUCUUUCUGGGAAGAGAAACAUCGUGGGAGUGGAUGACAAGACAGACAUGUCAGGAGAUUAUGAAAAGUUUGAUGAAAUUGCUCCAUUCAUAGUGAAUAUUGACCCGAGCAUCCCGUUAAAUGAUGAAGAUUUUCCAUGGUUACAGCGCAAAGGGACACACACGAAGAAAAAGUUUCACACCCAAAGAUCGGGGAUGUGAUCGGCUUCACUAUCAUCACUUUCUUCUGUGUUUCACACCCAGGAGGGAAUCUCUGUAAUAGUUAGGGUAGUUAUGUGUUUUGGCAUUUGAAACGCGAAGAAAUUUUAUGUGCAAACAAAUUCUUUCAUGCCUUUACUGAUUUUUUCCAGCUAAAAAGGCAUUUCAUUUUUUAAAUAACCUAAGCAUUACCAAAUUGAAUAUAAUGAUAAGACACACUAAUAUUAAACAUAAUAAAAAAGAAUCACUGAAAAAUAUAUUUUUAAAGUUAAGUUAUUCACAAACUAGUGAUUCACACAAAUUUCAAAUAAUUCAAAAUUUAAACUAUUCAAAUUUAAAAACUACCGGCACUAACUGAAAGUUUCUAAAAACCAUCAAAAAUAUUCAUAAAGAAACUCUAAAUACAGCAAAAAACAACUAAAAAUAAAUAAAACAAAAUAAAUAAAGGAGAAAAGAAAAAACUAAAUGAAAAAAAGCCCACCUACCGGGCCACAGCGGCCGGCAUACGACUAGAAACCCAACCUGUUGUUGGGCCAGGAUGCAGGCCUGCAAGCCCAAUAGGCCCCAUAGGGCAGAGUAGCAGAGGUAGGCCCAGAAGGCCUGCUUUAGAGAGGAGCUCGAGACAGCAGCGGCGGCGGGGCUUAUAAGCAGGUGCGAGCGCCCUUCGGCUAGCGAGGUGGGACUAAACUUCUGCGCCCCUCGCCUGGCAGCGCACCCCCUUUAGUACCGGGUCGUGGCAUCAACCAGUGCUAAAGGGGGGGGGGGUCUUUAGUACCAGUUGGAGCCACCACCCGGUACUAAAGGCCCGCCCUUCCCGCCGCUUGGCCUGGCCAAAACAGGCCUUUAGUACCGGUUGGUGGCUCCAACCGGUACUAAAGGUGCCUUCUAUAUAUACAUCACUUUGAAAAAUUUCAUUCUCCCUCUGUUUCUUCCUCUGUUUCCCCAUUGAAGCACCGCCUGCCCCGAUCGAUCGACGUCAUCACCUCCCCCGUCCCCAUCGUCGCCCCCGUCCCGCGCCGCCCCCGUCGCGCGCCGUUGCCNNNNNNNNNNNNNNNNNNNNNNNNNNNNNNNNNNNNNNNNNNNNNNNNNNNNNNNNNNNNNNNNNNNNNNNNNNNNNNNNNNNNNNNNNNNNNNNNNNNNNNNNNNNNNNNNNNNNNNNNNNNNNNNNNNNNNNNNNNNNNNNNNNNNNNNNNNNNNNNNNNNNNNNNNNNNNNNNNNNNNNNNNNNNNNNNNNNNNNNNNNNNNNNNNNNNNNNNNNNNNNNNNNNNNNNNNNNNNNNNNNNNNNNNNNNNNNNNNNNNNNNNNNNNNNNNNNNNNUAUGAGCUCUCCCCCUCUAACCCCUCUCCCUCGCCCCCGGCGGCCACCAUGGGUGCCGCCCCUCCCCGAGCCCAUACACACACACAAGCAUGAUGAACACACACACACACACAUUUCCUUAAGUUAAUUAGUAUAUACGUAGUUUGUAUGUUUAAUUAGUUUAGAUUUUUUAGAUUAUUAUUUUUUCACUAGUAUAUAUGUAUGAAUGCAUGUUAGAUGGAUAUAAUUAGUGUUUAAUUAGUAUGGAAUUUUUUAUAUAUAAUGUUGUUUUUCUGUUUUUUAAUGGAUGUAUAGAAUUUGUUUUUUCUGUUUUUAGUGUUAGAUGCUUAAUUAGUAUGAAAUAGUAUAUAGAAUUUUGACAUAUGCAAUGAUAGUAUAAUUAGUGUUACAUUUGCAUAUAGUAUUUGUUGUUGACGAUGCCCGGCCCGCAUCCUCGCCGUCGACCCGUUCGCGGCGACGUCCUGCUUCAGAGGACCCAUGUCCGGGACUGGGCUCCGCCGGGCUGGCACUGGGAGGUGCUACCUUCAGGGGCGCGAUGCUUGGUGAGGAAUCCGGCCCUGGGUCCCGUCGUCGACCCUCAUCUCCUUUGAUGGCGUUCGCGUGCGCCACUUUCGAUGCGGAGGGAGCCGGCCCCGCCAGAGGUGGUACGUCGCCGUGUCAGGGAGGAGGACGAGCACGUCCAUCGCUACAUGGCUGCUAUGGACGUCAUCUCCAAUACCUGGCAGGUUCUUUAGGGAGAUCACCCGAGCUAUGAUCCAGUGAUGGUUCCUUCACUUUGGUUGUCCACCGCCUAGAUUACUCUCUAGUAUUCGAUCUUUAUUAGCUAGCUAGCUAGCUAGUGAUGUAUUCGAUAUAUAAUAUUCGAGAUGAUUUAUUCAAGAUUAUAUCUAUUAUUCGAGACGAUGUAUUCAAGAUUAUACCUAUUAUUUGAGAUGACGUAUUCGAGAUUAUAUUCGAUGAUGCUUAUUAUGUACUAUGAUUGAUUCAGUUUUUCCUUAUUAAUUGAUUGCAUCCAUGCAUUGUAAUUUGAAUAUAUUUCUUUUGGAUUAGUUAAAUAAAACCUAUGGCGGACAAUACCGGCAGAGAGGGAGAAGAGGCCUUGUUAAAUAUCAUACGCAAUCCUCGCGGGCCAGAUGAUGAUCAGAAUGAAGAAGAUUAUGACGGCUCCGAAUAUCUAAACAACACCGCGGAGGGUGAUAUGAUAUUCGAUCGCGACGACCGAAUUGAUGAAGUCAUGAACUAUGAACAUGACAAAGAAAAUGUUGAUCUUGAAACAACAAAGACCGGCGAGCUAUAUUUAUAUAAGCAGGCAUCUGGUGAUCAUCACAUGUUUUAAAUGACUUGAAGAUAUAUUAAUGAAUCGAUCUUUCUUCUUUCAGCCAUCUGGAUCCGGCAAAUCUUCAGGCAGCACGACAGUACGAGGCCCGAACAAAAAGUUGAAGGAGGGCGUAAAGUACAAUAUCGAGGCCAUCAAACCUAAUGGCGAACCAUUAGCGCCUAAGAAGAUUGCGGACAAGUUCAUUCGUCAGUGCGGAGUUCUUGUGAAGGACCGACUCCCAAUCUCCCUUCAAGAAUGGAGAGAGCCAGCAAAGCCACGUCCAGAUCCCCUUACUUUUGUCGAUGACAGACAAAAACUUCUGCUUUGGGAAACGCUCAUGGAACAUUUCACCCUACCAGAUCAUUUCACAGAUGCAGAUGUGGAGAAAGUCAAGGACGCUGCUCUUAGGAAGAUGGCGGUUGUGUUCAACAACCACAAGAAUCGUGUAUGGGACCAGUACGUCAAGGGAGGAAAGAAGACUCCAGUAUUCAAGGGAACACUAGAGAAGCAAAGUGCUCACUGGGACGAUUUCAUGAAAUUCAAGGAAUCAGAAUUAUCUAAGGAACGGUCGAGAAUAAACAAGGCCAAUGCCGCAAAAAAGGAUAAGUUCCAUAAGUUGGGGCCAGGUGGCUAUGCGGCAGGAAUGCCUAAGUGGGAUAAGUCUGAGAAAGAGAUGGCGGAUGCAGGUGUCACUCCAGAAACAUUGAGCUGGCCCCUCAGGUGCAGGACUUGGUUCUAUGCGCAUGGGGGGGUGGACCCGAAGACAGGCAAAGUUUUGAAGAAGGCAUGUCUGGACGGAGCCGAAGAUAAGCUACUUGUUGCAAUAGAAUAGGCUUGAUCGGGGGUGUUCGAGCCCAACAGAGAGAACGACGAGCUUACGCGUGCCCUGGGAAAUCCUGAACAGUCGGGAAGAACACGGGGCAAGGGCGCUAUUCCGUGGUAUGAGGGGUUUUCGAACUGGAAUGCCGACUACAGAACCCGUGCGAGAAAGAAGAUUGCAGAGGAGAAGAAGAGGAAGAUGGAGGAGGAGCAGAGGAAGCUAGACUAUGAACGCCUUCAAGGCCUUGAAUCAGCGCACGUGGACUUGGCAGUCAAAUUCCAGCAGCAGCAGGAGCAGAUUGACUCACUUAGCCAGCAAAGGGGGUCUCAGCAGCUGCUGCAGCUAGCGGAUGAUCCAAUAUUGGAUAGCACCGUCCCAUCCAUGCCGAGAAGCAACAUGGGUUCUACCCCGGGCGACGCAUUGCUAGAUAGCUACCCAGUGGAUGACAUCAUGGAGAAAACUAACUACGAGCUACACUUCAAAAUGAAGAACAUAUCCAUGAAGGUGGCGGACGUCGUUGCUUUUACAAAUCCCCCCGAGGCAACCUUCCAUUGCAACCCGAUUCCAGCAGGCUAUGCUCGUGUCUUAGUUGAUGAGGUGGUGGACCAAUAUUCGGGGCUAGAGCUUGACAUUCCUGGAGGUGACGAGGGGCACACACUGGGAGAGGCCAACCAUCUUAUCAUCCUAUGGAGAAAGGAUUGCAUCAUCUUUCGAAGGCCACCGACACCGCGUCAUCCGACUUCUCGUCGAAGUCCGCCACCGAGUCAGCAGACUCCCGCUCCUCCAAGUCCACCAAAGCAUCAGGCCACUCCUCCUCCAAGUCCGGCACAACUUCAGGCCACUCCUCCUCCUCCAAGUCCGGCAAAGCGUCAGGCCACUCCUCCUCCAAGUCCGGCACAGCUUCAGGCCACUCCUCCUCCUCCAACUCAGCCACGUUAGACGUCUUCGCCACCUCAGCAAUCACGGAAGAGAGCCGCCUCAGCUAUGGUGCGUAGUGGUACAAGUCGAGGUAGUACUGGAGGUACAGGCGGAGGCAAGCGAUUUCAAUAUGGUCCAAGCAGCCUCGCGCCUCUUCCGCACAGGCCUUACGACAAGUCCGGGGAGGAAAACGCAGCCAUAUCGAAGGCCGAGGUGGAAGCCCAUUUUGCACCGAAACCGCCACCGGCGCCAAGGGAGAAAGUGCCUGAGGAAAGGAUUAACCACUUCAUUCGUAUGUCUAGAGCACCAGCUCCCAAGCCUGUUGACACAGACUAUGAGCACCACCUCAGGAAGUUAAAUCGAGCACGUCUACAGAAAGAGGCAAGCUCGAGCUCGAGCAAAUCAGCUGGCAAAAGGAGCAGUAAAACCGUUCCCCAGCUGGGAGAACAGGCGGCGCAAUCAAUCCCCCGCUUGUUGUGCCAACAACACAUGAGAGUAUGCGCGCCCAAUAUUAUUGUGGGCAAACCGUUAAUGUUCGCGGGCUGGGCGAUGUGGUAAUAACCGAGGAGCAUAUUGAGCUGGCUAAAAGGCUCAUGAUCACUGUUGGACAACUCCUCGAUAUCGAGCCCAUGUCUCUGAUUAGAGAGGAGGAAGUAAAACAUAAAUAUGUUCGGGGCCAACCUUUGGUCGAGCCAGACGAGGUCAAGAAGCUCCCAACGAGAAUGUAUGAAUUGCAUCAAUGGUACAUGGACAUUACCAAGAUUUCCAAUCGAGAGUCCCUCAUGGUGAAUGUCAAUAAGGAUCAUUACUACCAUGAGAAAGCUGUGUCCGUUGAGUAUUCAGAACUAUUUCAGUUAUACAAUCAAGGUGCACUCGACAAAUCUAUCAUCAGUUGCUAUUGUCUGUAAGUGAUUUCUUUCUAUAAUUUAAGUCUCAAGCUAGCUGUAGUGAUCAUUUUGAUCAAUCAUUACCUAUAAUUAUCCUCGCUAUAUUCUUUUCUGUGGUAUUAUGCAGGAUGAAGAUUUAUGAAAUGAAAAAAGGUGGACGCUAUGGCAUUGGGUUCAUUGACCCAAAUACCAUUAAUGAAUACACAUGGAAAUUAGAUCCAUAUUAUGAAAAAAGUGUAGAGGAAAGCAUGCUAGAGUUCUUCAAGCGCCUCAAAUACAAUGAAGAUAUACUACUUCCUUACAACUUCGAGUGAUUCACACUGUCUUAUACUACAAAUUCUGUUUUUGCCUACUAGCUAGCUACAUGUUUUUGCUUACAUAUGCCCGCUUAAUUAAGACAUGCAAACGUGUGUGCAUGCAGAUUUCACUGGAUCUUGUUAAUUAUUAAAGUUGACGAAGGAACAGUUGAAAUACUGGACUCACUACUUAAAAAAGCAAGUGACUACACCAUCGUGAAGGGGAUAGUCAACAGGUAAUUUCAAUCAUUAUUAACUAUAUCUCGGCCUAUUUAAUUAGUUCGUCAUUUCCUGAUAACAACUAUUUAAUAACCCAUUUAUUCAUUUUCUUUGUCAGCGGGCAGGGCUUGGGCAAAGUUCAUCAGCAUCACUCCAGGCCAAUGGAAACGAAAUCUGAAUUGGUAUCGACCCAAGGUAAGUAAUUAAGUAGUACUAGCUAGCUUCCAUCUCUUUAAUUAUCAUGUUUGAUUAAUUAUUAUCUGAUCAAAUUCCAUUCUCGUAAAGGCCCUGAAGCAGGCACCGGGGAAUAAUCUGUGCAUACUACGUUUGCGAGAACAUUCGCAUGAUGGCGUCCGAAAGGAGCAGAUCUCAAAGACAGGAGUGGGUACGUUUGUCAGAACACUAUUCACAAUUUUUACACCAUUAUCGAUAUCUAGUCAUACAACUAAUACACAUGCAUAUUGAUCUCCUUCUUAAUAGUUCAAAGAGGUGCGGGAGCAGCUCCUAGCAGAGGACCGCAUAGAAGCAAUUAAAGAGGAAAUAGCGGGAUUUUUGCUCGACCAGGUCUAGAUCCCAAAGGAGAAUACUUUUACCCGCUACCGCCCCCAUGAACCACUUCCAAUUGUCAUCGUGCUUCGAAGGCACCAAUUAGGCUAAUGCCACUGGCUCCAAAGUCACCAAUUAGGAGAAAUUGUAUAUAGCUACCUAAUUUUAUACAUAUAUACAUGUGUGUAUAUAUGUGUGAAUUAAUGGUGGCUGUGAGACAUUCGAUGAUAUAUAUAUAUAUGAUCGGUUCUACUAGAAAUUCUAUUUAUAUAUAUGCAUAACGUGUACAAUAUGUAGCAUCAUAAAAUACCAGGAAACAAAAAAGAAUUAAAUGGAAAACACAAAAUUAAAUGAAAAAGAAAUCAUAAACCCAAACCCCCCCAACCUUUUAAUACCGGUUGGUGUCACCAACCGGUACUAAAGGGCUCCCUACCCCCGGAGCUGGCUCGUGCCACGUGGUUGCCCUUUAGCACCGGUUCGUGCUGAACCGACACUAAAGGGGGGACCUUUAGUGCCCACACUUUAGUAUCGGUUACCAAACCGGGACUAAAGGGCCUUACGAACCGGUGCUAUUGCCCGGUUCUGCACUAGUGUUAUAUCUUUUAGAGCACGGUGGUGGUUUUAUUUUAUAGAAAUUAUUGAUCUCUCAUGCUUCACUUAUAUUAUUUUGAGAGUCCCUUAGAACAUCAUGGUAGUUUGCUUUGGCUAUAAAAUUGGUCCUAAUAUGAUAGGCAUCCAAGAUGGGUAUAAUAAAAACUAUCAUAAAAAGUGCAUUGAAUACUAUGAGAAGUUUGAUACUUGAUAAUUGUUUUGAGAUAUAAAGGUGGUGAUAUUAGAGUUGUGCUAGUUGAGUAGUUGUGAAUUUGAGAAAUACUUGUGAUGAAGAUUGCAAGUCCUGUAGCAUGCACGUAUGGUAACCGUUGUGUAACAAAUUUGAAACAUGAGGUGUUCUUUGAUUGUCUUCCUUACGAGUGACGGUCGGGGGUGAGCGAUGGUCUUUUCCUACCAAUCUAUCCCCCUAGGAGCAUGCGCAUAAUGCUUGGUUUUUGAUGACAUGUAGAUUUUUGCAAUAAGUAUGUGAGUUCUUUAUGACUAAUGUUGAGUCCAUGGAUUAUACGCACUCUCACCUUUCCAUCAUUGCUAGCCUCUUCGGUACCGUGCAUUGCCCUUUCUCACCUUGAGAGUUGGUGCAAAUUUCGCCGGUGCAUCCAAACCCCAUGAUAUGAUAUGCUCUAUCACACAUAAACCUCCUUAUAUCUUCCUCAAAACAGUCACCAUACCUACCUAUUAUGGCAUUUCCAUAGCCAUUCCGAGAUAUAUUGCCAUGCAACUUUCCAUCGUUUCAUUUAUGACACACUUCAUCAUUGUCAUAUUGCCUUGCAUGAUCAUGUAGUUGACAUCGUAUUUGUGGCAAAGCCACGAUGCAUAAUUUAUCAUACAUGUCACUCUUGAUUCAGUGCCCUUCCCGGUACACCGCCGGAGGCAUUCAUAUAGAGUCAUAUUUUGUUCUAGUAUCGAGUUGUAAUCAUUGAGUUGUAAAUAAAUAGAACAGUGAUGAUCAUCAUCAAUAGAGCAUUGUCCCAAAAAAUGGAAAGGCCAAAAAAAGAAAUAAAAAGGGACAAUGCUACUAUCCUUUUUUCCACACUUGUGCUUCAAAGUAGCGCCAUCAUCUUUAUGAUAGAGAGUCUCUUGUUUUGUCACUUUCAUAUACUGGUGGGAAUUUUUCAUUAUAGAACUUGGCUUGUAUUCCAACAAUGGGCUUCCUCAAAUGCCCUAGGUCUUCGUGAGCAAGCAAGUUGGAUGCACACCCACUUAGUUUCUUUUGUUGAGCUUUCAUACAUUUAUAGCUCUGGUGCAUCUGUUGCAUGGCAAUCCCUACUCCUUGCAUUGACAUCAAUUGAUGGGCAUCUCCCUAGCCCGUUGAUUAGCUGCGUCGAUGUGAGACUUUCUCCUUUUUUGUCUUCUCCACAUAACCCCCAUCAUCAUAUUCUAUUCCACCCAUAGUGCUAUAUCCAUGGCUCACGCUCAUGUAUUGCAUGAAAAUUGAAAGAAGUUUGAGAUUACUAAAGUAUGAAGCAAUUGCUUGGCUUGUCAUCGGGGUUGUGCAUGAUGAGAGCAUUCUUGUGUGACGAAAAUGAAGCAUGACCAAACUAUAUAAUUUUGUAGGGAUGAACUUUCUUUUGCCAUGUUAUUUUGAGAAGACAUGAUUGCUUAGUUAGUAUGCUUGAAGUAUUAUUAUUUUUAUGUCAAUAUUAAACUUUUGUCUUGAAUCUUUAGGAUCUGAACAUUCAUGCCACAAAAAAGAAAAUUACAUUGAGAACUAUGCUAGGUAGCAUUCCACAUCAAAAAUUCUGUUUUUAUCAUUUACCUACUCGAGGACGAGCAGGAAUUAAGCUUGGGGAUGCUUGAUACUUCUCCAACGUAUCUAUAAUUUUUUAUUCUUCCAUGCUAAUAUAUUAUCUGUUUUGGAUGUUUAAUGGGCUUAUUUAUACACUUUUAUAUUAUUUUUGGGACUAACCUACUAACCCAAGGCCUAGUGCAAAUUGUUGUUUUUUGCCUAUUUCAGUAUUUCGCAGAAAAGGAAUAUCAAACGGAAUCCAAACGGAAUGAAACCUUUGGGAGAGUUAUUUUUGGAACAAACGUGAUCCAGGGUACUUGGAGUAGACGUUAAGAAAGAAGCGAGGAAGCCACGAGGCAGGGAGGCGCGCCCCCCACCCUCGUGGGCCCCUCAAAGCUCCACCGACCUACUUGUUCCUCCUAUAUAUGUCCAUUAUACCCCGAAAACAUCUAGGAGCACCACGAAACCCUAUUUCCACCGCUGCAACCUUCUAUACCCAAGAGAUCCCAUCUUGCGGCCUUUUCCGGAGCUCCACUGGAGAGGGAAUCGAUCACAGAGGGCUUCUACAUCAACACCAUAGCCUCUCCGAUGAUGUGUGAGUAGUUUACCAUAGAACUUCGGGUCCAUAGUUAUUAGCUAGAUGGCUUCUUCUCUCUCUUUGGAUCUCAAUACAAAGUUCUCCUCGAUCUUCUUGGAGAUCUAUUCGAUGUAAUUCUUUUUGCGGUGUGUUUGUCGAGAUCCGAUGAAUUGUGGUUUUAUGAUCAAGUUUAUCUAUGAACAAUAUUUGAUUCUUCUCUGAAAUCUUUUAUUUAUGAUUGGUUAUCUUUGCAAGUCUCUUCGAAUUAUCAGUUUGGUUUGGCCUACUAGAUUGAUCCUUCUUGCAAUGGGAGAAGUGCUUAGCUUUGGCUUCAAUCUUGCGGUGUCCUUUCCCAGUGAUAGUAGGGGUAGCAAGGCAUGUAUUGUAUUGUCGCCAUCAAGGAUAAAAAGAUGGGGUUUAUAUCAUAUUGCUUGAGUUUAUCCCUCUACAUCAUGUCAUCUUGCCUAAUGCAUUACUCUGUUCUUAUGAACUUAAUACUCUAGAUGCAUCCUGGAUAGCGGUCAAUGUGUGGAGUAAUAGUAGUAGAUGCAGAAUCGUUUUGGUCUACUUGUUGCAGAAGUAAUGCCUAUAUACAUGAUCAUGCCUAGAUAUUCUCAUAAUUAUGCACUUUUCUAUCAAUUGCUCGACAGUAAUUUGUUCACCCACCGUAAUACUUAUGCUAUCUUGAGAGAAGCCACUAGUGAAACCUAUGGCCCCCGGGUCUAUCUUUUAUCAUAUAAGUUUCCAAUCUAUUUUACUUUGCAAUCUUUACUUUAAAUAUAUAUCAUAAAAAUACCAAAAAUAUUUAUCUUAUUAUCUCUAUCAGAUCUCACUCUCGUAAGUGACCGUGAAGGGAUUGACAACCCCUUUAUCGUGUUGGUUGUGAGGUUCUUAUUUGUUUGUGUAGGUACGUGGUACUUGCGUGUAGUCUCCUACUAGAUUGAUACCUUGGUUCUGAAAAACUGAGGGAAGUACUUACGCUACUUCACUGCAUCACCCUUUCCUCUUCAAGGGAAAACCAAUGCAGUGCUCAAGAGGUAGCAGCUAGUCCCUUUAUUUAUGCUCGGUAGGCUCAGUUCUCCGGCAACAAAAUAAAAGGGUACCGGUGGGAUACCCUGCCGGGGAAAACUCGUUUAUUUAAAUAAAGAGGCAUUCCACCUCUGCAUGGACUUAUACAUGCACGAGUUCCCAAGAAGGUUCAUCUUUUUCGUUAAUAUGCUGAUUAUACAAGUACAAACCUUACAGAACACAGACAUGGACUUGAGAGAUUACAUUAUUUGAACUAAAAUUUGGCAAGUGUCGAUAGAUUUAAGAUUGAAAAAAGAUAAGUGCCCCGGGAUGCCUUUGCCCUUGUUCAUCUCCUUCAGGAAGGGGUUGAUGACCCACAAGUAUAGGGGAUCAAUUAUAGCUCUUUUCGAUAAGUAAGAGUGUCGAACCCAACAAGGAGAAGAAGGAAUUGACAAGUGGUUUUCAGUAAGGUAUUGUCUGCAAGCGCUGAAAUUGUAAGAAGCGAGUAGUUUGAUAGCGAGAUAAUUUGUAACGAGCAAGUAACAAUAAUAGUAACAAAAGUGCUGCAAGGUAUCCCAAUCCUUUUGAGGCAAAGGACAGGCCAAAACGGUCUCUUAUGAUAAGCAAAGCGCUCUUGAGGGUACACCGGAAUUUCAUCUAGUCACUUUCAUCAUGUUGGUUUCAUUUGUGUUCACUACUUUGAUAAUUUGAUAUGUGGGUGGACCGGUGCUUAGGUGUUGUUCUUACUUGAACAAACCUCCUACUUAUGAUUAACCCUCCCGCAAGCAUCCGCAACUAUAAGAAAAGUAUUAAGAAUAAAUUCUAACCAUAGCAUUAAACUUUCGAAUCCAAUCGGUCCCUUACCGAAUAGCGCAUAAACUAGGGUUUACGCUUCUGUCACUCUCGCAACCCACCAUCUAAUUGCUACUCCAUAAUGCAUUCCCUUAGGUCCAAAUAUGGUGAAGUGUCAUGUAGUCGACGUUCACUUGACACCACUAAGGGAAUAACAACAUUCAUACUAUCAAAAUAUCGAACAGAUAUCAAGUUCACAUGAUUACUUGCAGCAUGAUUUCUCCCGUGACCUCAAGAACAAAAGCAACUACUAACAAAUGAUAAACAUGUUCAUGAUCAGAGGAGUAUUAAAUAGCAUAGUGGAUCUGAACAUAUAAUCUUCCACCAAUUAAACCAUAUAGUAAUGAACUACAAGAUGUAAUCAACACUACUAGUCACCCACAAGUACCAAUCUAUAGUUCUGGUAACAAGAUUGAACACAAGAGAUGAACUAGGGUUUGAGAGGAGAUGGUGUUGUGAGAGGUUGAUGGAGAUUCCCUCCCCGGGAUGGGAGAGUUGUUGGUGAUGAUGAUGACGAUGAUUUCCCCUUCGGGAGGGAAGUUCCCCCGGCGGAAUCGCUCCGCCGGAGGGCAAAACUGCUCCUGCCCAAGUUCUGCCUCGAGGCGUUGACGCUUCAUCCCGAAAGUCCUCAUCUUAUUUUUUUUUCUAGGUCAAAAUGACUUAUAUACCAAAAGAUGGGUACCAGAAGUGGGUAGAGGAGGCCACAACCCACCAGGGCGCACCUGGGGUACCUGGCACGCCCAGGUGGCUUGUGCCCACCUGGUGGCCCCCCUCUGGUGUUUAUUGGCUCCAGUAUUUAUUAAAUAAUCCAUAAAAAAUCUCCGUGAAGUUUCAGCUCAUUUGGAGUUGUGCAGAAUAGGUAGCCUGACGUAGCUUUUCUAGGUCCAGAUUUCCAGCUGCCGGAAUUCUCUCUCUUGGUGUGUUCCUUGCAAAUUAUGAGAGAAAAGGCAUUGCAAUUACUCCAAAAAGCAUUAUUAUGGAUAAAAACAUUAUAAAUAACAGUAAGAAAACAUGAUGCAAAAUGGACGUACCAUGGCUCCAUUGGCGGCCCGGUACGGCCCAGUUCGGGAGCAACAACACAAGACCUUCGCGAGGGGCCAAGCCUCGCGAGGCAGACGACACCAAGACCUCCCUGGGGCGGCCUCACGAGGCUGGCUCCCGAGGAGCGGAGAUAUAUAUGCAGGGCGCAUCUCGCAAGGUUCACAUGAUGUGAGCCAUGAUGACCAAGGCCAGGCGGGCACUAGCGGGCGCGGUGUACUAGUUUCCUCUUUGGUGCUAAGGAGACAAGCGCAGGCUCGGAGUCCCGAGGAAUCGAGCAAAGGUUUCCAUAUUGGUGCAACAAGACAAAGACUGUCAGGACAGCAGGACGGAGGUCAUCGCGGAGCCCAUGACAGCGUCACCACCAGAUCCUUUUGCAAGUGAAGACUACUUUUGUCAGGAUAACUUGUACUAGUGGUCUCCCUUCGAAAUUGGCCGUUGUGGGAUCACUUCCCGCCAACAUUUGGGAAGAGGACCAAGUCCACUAUAAAUAGGACUUAGCCACCACCAUAGAGGGGGGGAUCAGAUCUUUCAGACCAUCCUCACACUCACCACCUCAUCAAGCUCGAGAACACCUCACCUCCUGAGGCUGUUCACCCACUGUACUAGUUAACCCCCAGCCCCUCGAGGCAAUCCACCAUAAAGCUGGAGUAGGGUAUUACACCGCAAGGUGUCCCGAACCAGGAUAAAUCAUUGUGUCUCUCGUUCUUUGGGUUCGUCAAGUCUAGCUGUGGAAUCGUUGGGCCCGCAAGCUGAGGAGUAGGAGUUCUUCGUACACACCCCAGUGUUUGAACCUCUCAAGGGUCUGUGGAGCCCUGAAUCCGACAUUUGGUGCGUCAGGUAGGGGUGCGUCGAAGCCUCUCUUCCGACGGUCGACUCACCGCCGCUCCACUGUCCUCAUGGCAGAUGCUCGCUGAGCCCGUGCUGAGCGUCGAGUCGCUCUCGCCACGCGCGUUUCCCAGAUGGCGCCCGUCGGCGGGCCUCCCCAUCGUGCUCCAUCACCAGCCGCCAACACCGUCACCGGCCCGGCGGGGCACGAGCAGCAAGCUUCAUCGCAGCAUACCUACAUGCAGCGGGACGGAUGCACCACCACCCCAUUGCUGACUCCGGCCAGCUCAUCGUCCCAUGCUCAUCACGGCCCAACGAACGCGCAUGCCUUGUUGCUCAUGGUGCUGAGCUCCUGUGCUACUGCCCCGUCGACGACCUCUACGAAGACUGGCCGGACCGCAUUGCCGAGCUAGUCAGCGCGGUUGGGGGCUCGCCUGCACCUUCCCUCUCGUUGCCUCGUCCGCCACCUGCUGCGGACGACGUAGCCCAUGGAGCGCCUCUGCCACCUCCUCAUCAGGACGUCGCCCUCGGCCCAAGACGCAUGCCCCCUCGGUGCGACCCACCGUGCUAGGCGCCCGCGCGUGAGGAAGAAAGCUGCCGAGAGGUCCAGUGGCCGCAAGAAGGUGCUCCAGCGCUUCCUCCACCACCAUGUCAAGACCACGCGCCACCUGCAGCGGUGGUGCGUGAGCGCCAAGAUCAGGCCCCACCUCCGUGACGGGCCCCGGUGACCACAGCAGGCUGUCGCGCCUUCACCCCUGAGCUACGUAGCGUCGUCUGGCUAGCCAAGUUCAAGCCUGACCUUCCUCCAUGCUACGACGGCACCCCCGGCCCUGCGGAGUUCCUGCAGCUCUACGAGCUACGCAUUGAGGCGGUCAUCGGCGACAAGAAGGUCAUGGCGAACUGGUUCCCCAUGGCCCUCAAGGAUGGUGCACACUCAUGGCUCCUGAACCUGCCCGCGGGAUCAAUCUCCUCCUGGGGCGAGAUGCGCAAGCGCUUCGUCGCAACCUUCCAAGGUACUCGCGACCGCCCGCCUGCCGCAGGUGACCUACGGCGCAUCAAGCAACAUCCUGGGGAGACCCUGCAGAAGUACAUCCAACACUUCAACAGCGUUCGCCUCAGGAUCCCCAAAGUUUCUGACGAAGCCAUCAUCUUGGCGUUCUCCUAUGGCGUCCGCGAUGUCAAGAUGAAGGAGGAGCUCGCCAUCCACGAGGACUUGUGCACGGCCCUGGAGAUGUUCAACAUGGCUACCAAGUGCGCGAGGGCCGAGGAGGGGCUCCACUCCCUCCUCAAGUUCCCAGCUAUUGACCCAGAAGACAAGAAGGCCAAAGUCAAGGACGUGCAUCGCAAGGGAGCUGUCGUCCUCAUGGCCGAACCAGAGAUGAAGCGCGGCUGCAACCACCCAGAGUCGUCCAAGGGUAGCCGUCCAUUCUGCGUCUUCCACAAUGUACACAACCAUAACACCAACGAUUGCCAUGAGCUUAGGGCCAUCCGCGAUGGGCGCCUCGGUCGACGCCCCAAGCGCAAUGACCGAGGCUACGGCUGCGGAGGAAGCAGAAGUGGAGGAUGUUGGGACGACCGCGGCCCCCACCAGGAGUGGCGCAACCAGCCUCGUUAGGAUUGCUGGCAAGGCCAGCCUCGCGAGGGCAUCUAGAGAGGCCAGCCUCGUGAGGGAGCCUAGAGAGGUCAGCCUGGUGAGGACCAUCCUUAGGGCAAUGCUGGCCUCCCUCCACUACCACCACCACCAAGACGAGGGGGCUCGAGGCUUCCAGGAGCCUCGCACCAUCGCCUGCAUCUUGGGUGGCGCUCAGGCCCCAGCCUCCCGCCACAUCUUCAAGCAGUUCGCUCGUGCGGUCAACAUGGGCCUUCCCAGGCUCGAGGCCAUGCACCCACUUAGGUGGUCCAGGUGCACCAUCACCUUCAGCUCGUCCGACCAGCUCAAGUGCGCGGCAACUGCCGGCGCUGUCCCAAUGUUCUGCUCGCCCGUUAUCACCAACGUCCUUCUCACCAAGACCCUCAUCGAUGGUGGCGCGGGGCUCAAUGUUCUUUCCAUCGAGAUGUUCGACCGGCUCCAAGUGUCGUAUGAUCAGCUGCAGCCCACCAAGCCUUUCUCAAGAGUGACCGAUGGUUCUGCCACUCUGAUAGGUCAGAUCCGCCUCCCUGUCACCAUUGGCCAGCGUGACAACUACCGCACCGAGCUCAUCGACUUCGACGUCGCUCACAUUCGCCUCACGUACAACGCCAUCCUUGGGUAUCCGGCCCUGGCUAAGUUCAUGGCGGUGCCCCACCAUGUCUACAAUGUCCUCAAGAUGCCAAGGAGCCACGACAUCGUCGCGACGCUUGCGAGGAGAAGGACGCGGUGUGCUCUCUCGAGCGCGCCUACCAGACUACGACAGUGGAAGACCCAGACAACGAAGGCGCCAUCUACCCUCCCGAGGCUGUCCCCAAGAAGAAAAAGCAGAUACUCCGUCAAGAGCCUCAUGAGAGCAGCAUCUCCAGCGGCACCACCUCAGUACCAGCGCCCAUGGAUGGGGUGGCUCCCUCUCUCGCAUAGGAAGGUGCGCCCGAUGCCCUCCUCGGGCUGGGCUCGAGGGCUCCCUUCUAGAGGGCCUCUGACCUGGCCAAUGCCAUGAGGGAGGCGCUCAGGCACCACGUGGAGGCAUGAUUCGCCGCACGCUUCCCUCACGAGCGCACUAGGCACAAGGUGCCAAGAGCCCAGGAGUUCAUCUCCAAGACGACCGAGGAGCUUCAAGAGGCAAGAGCCAUGCGCGGCGACCGCCGCCCACCACCUAACGCAGCUCCUUGUCCCGGCAAAGACAACAAGCUGCGCGGCUAUGUCAACAUCCCCGGGCUCAACAGAGUUGCAACUCAGCAGUGCUUCUGGCCUUCGCACGCUGGUCGGUGUGAGGGCCCACCUCACUGCUACGUUCGCAUGCCCUUUGGCUUGCCGAACGCGGCUGCCGCCUUCCAGCGUCGCUUGCAAAGCAUCGUGGUUGCUCAGGAGGCCAGGUGCAACGUGGUCCUGGCGGAGGUAGCAACAGUCCUUCACGAACCUCCAGAGCCUCCCGAGGUUCAAGGCCAAGGCGGCUCGUGAGGAGAAACCUCUUCAGGGCGCAUCUUCAGCUACUUCAACAUCUCUCUAGCAACGGCACCAGGUGACAUUUACCAGUUUAUUCAGUUGGGGGCACCCCUCGGGCUGCAUUAUCCCCAUGCCGCAUGGGCCUGUCCCUGCGGCGCCUAUCCUUUUUGCAUCUUUAGUUUACCUUGUUGGGUCCAUCCCUGUGGCAUGUAUCAUUCUUGCAUCUACCUGGACUAGCUUUAUCUUCUCCCAUGAGAUGAUUUAUGUUACUAACUACCUGCCAUACGCCUUUCGUGGAUCCCCACGUAGCUGACCGACCUCUUGCUCAUCGCGCGACGAGGGUUUCACAUGCUGGCACGGCGCUUGUGCUCGGGUCCGUUCCUGCAAUGCCGAUAAACCUGUGCGAUCGAGCUCUGGCUCAUGGCCCGCUCCACGCACGUCACCUCACUAGAUCCUCAGUGCCUUCAUCUUCUUGUGGAAAGAACAGCGGUAGGACAGCGACGCGAUUACGAGUCAUGCUCUUCUCUCGAACUAACCCACAAGAAUCUCCGGGGCUCAACUACAGGCGACCUCGCCGACCGCCCCUUUUCCUACACAAUUCACUUGUGCGUUAAAGGGGGGACUCCUGAGCAUCGCGCCUUGGGAGCCCUUACUGACUCUCCAACCCUCACCCCCUGGCCUUGAUCAUGGCAUCGUGACCUGGCAUACCAGCGGCGGCUGAGCCUCGCUUGAGGGUCAGGACCCGAGGACGCAGAGCAUUUAAAUGAGCGGCGGAAGGGGGGACCGGCGCAGCCCUACCUAUUAAUACCACCACUGAAGCACAAGCUGGGCUUUGUGCAAGGAAUCACCGUUGGGUUGCCAAAAGAUAAGUCCCCCAUACAUAACAAAGCGAAUCUCUCUGUCCAAAGCCCUCCGCUCCUGUAAACUCGCUCCGACAGUGCUGCUUUCCUUUUCGGCCUCCUGGGAGUUGCUUGCACGCCAAGGGGGACCUCCUGAGCAUCGCGCCUCAGGAGCUCUUACCGGACCUCGGGCCGCUCACCUCCUAGCCUUGACCACGGCAUCGUGACCUGGCAUACCAGCGACGGCUGGAACCUGCCUGGGGACUGGGCCUGACAGUGCAUGUAGAGCGCUAAAGCUACCGCAAGAUCAAAAAGGAGGAGUAAUGCCUAAGAGAGACACACAGCCACAAUCUCAUGUUAAGAGUAAUAAGCGAUGGAACAAAAGCAUUACAGGUUCUUUACAUGCCCCCUCACGGUUCAUUUUGAUUCCUCAUAGGGAACUAAAAAAAAGCAGCCUCGAGAAGCCCUGGCUAUGGGCACUGACACCGACGCCAUCGUCAACAGUGGGCCACGUGAGGCCGGCGCAAACCCCAUCCAGAUCACCGUUGGUGUCGGGAGGAGGCCGCCAUGGCGCUCCAGGCGUGGCAGGAGCUUGGGGGUACGUAGCUGUCGUCGCUCAUCUUCGGGGACUCGCUAGGCUCGGGAGAGUCACUAGACUCCCAGGAGUCGUCCCUGCUGCCGAGGAAGUCGUCGGCAGGACCCACAGUAGGCGCUGCGCCCGUCGCCUCUCCCUGCUGAUGGUCUCCCCUAGGGUAGCACUCUAAGCGGCGACCUUCCUCGUCGAAGACCUUGAAGAACAAUGUGGAGGCGCCGUCAUACUCGAAAUGGAUGGCGGGGGCCCCCUCCGCGCAGCAAGCGCGGGCGACCUCGCCCCAUCCCUGAGUCAUGAAGAUCUUGCCGGAGGAGACGACCUCAACCUCUGCUCCCGUGGCUAGACUGCAGCACUGGGCAUGCUGCAGCCACAGCUCGAGCGCCCCCCUCGGCAGCAUCUAUUUGGCGAAGAACUGCGGGAACCGGAUCCACGUGCACGGAGGCAUCGCCGCCCACUGCACGAACUCACGCAAGGAGGCCUCGGCGUGGGUUCGCAAGACGGACGGCCGCACGGCCCUAGCCUGGUCCCCACGGCUCGCGCGGCGUGGGACACUGCCACCUACUCCUAAGUCUGGUGCCUAGGCAUACGAAGGAAGUGGGAAGCCAGGGGGUGGCCGUCAUACCAGGGCCGUGUCACCUCCUGCCUCGCACCGACAUUGUGAGGGUGCUGGGACCUCUUCUUCGGCAGAAGUAGCUCGGGCUCCACGAGGGUGGUCUUCCCCUUCUCCGCUGUCGAAAACCUCUGAUCGGCGCCAUGGAUAUCUUGGCAAGUUAGCAAGAUGGAGGGACCAAGAGGAAGAAGGAGUGUACUGCGAGAAGACAGAGGUGAGCAAGGGGGGCUCCGCCCCUUCCCUCAUUUAUAGCCAAGGGGAGGCCAACCGCCGGUCACCACGAUCGCAUGUAAUGAUGAUUUUCCCUUUGCAUGCAGCGGCGUCUCGUCAAGUCGGACGGUUGCUGAGGCAGCGUGGGGAAGCGGAGAUGCCCACAUCCCAUCAAUCGCCACGCGUCGACCGAGGCCGCAGGCGGUUGGGGCCCGCGGUGCUCCGCACUUGCCCUUUGGCUUCGCCUCGAAGCCAAGCUCGAGCGCGCCUUGGGCCUGGGGGCUAUUGUCGGUGUUAUGGGGCCGGGGGUGCCAGACUUGCCUGCGUGCGGCCCGUAGCAUGGCUCCAUCAGCGGCCCGGUAGGGCCCAGUUUGGCAGCAACAACACAAGACCCUCGCGAGGGGCCAAGCCUCGCAAGGAGGACGACACCAAGACCUGGCGGCCUCAUUAGGCUGGCUCCCAAGGAGCGGAGAUAUCUAUGUAGGGCGCACCUCGCGAGGUUCACAUGGCGUGAGCCAUGAUGACCAAGGCCAGGCAGGCGCCAGCAGGUGCAAUGUACUAGUUUCCUCUUUGGUGCUAAGAAGGCAAGCGUAGGCGCGGAGUCCCGAGGAGUCGAGCAAAGGUUUCCAUAUUGGUGCAAUAAGACCAAGACCGCCAGGACGGCUGGACGGAGGUCAUCGUGGAGCCCACGGCAGCGUCACCACCAGAGCCUUUUGCAGGCGAAGACUACUUUUGUCAGGAUAACUUGUACUAGUUGUCUCCCUUCGAAAUUGGCCGUUGUGGGAUCAUUUCCCGCCAACAUUUGGGAAGAGGACCAAGCCCACUAUAAAUAGGACUUAGCAACCACCAUAGAGGGGGAGGGGGGUCGGAUCAUUCAGACCAUCCUCACACUCACCAGCUCAUCAAGCUGAAGAACACCUCACCUCCUGAGGCUGUUCACCCACUGUACUAGUUAACCCACAGCCCCUCGAGGCAAUCCACCACAAAGCCGGAGUAGGGUAUUACACCGCAAGGUGGCCCGAACCAGGAUAAAUCUCUGUGUCUCGCGUUCUUUGGGUUCGUCGAGUCUAGCUAUGUAAUUGUUGGGCCGGCAAGACGGGGAGUAGGAGUUGUUCGUACGCACCCGAGUGUUCGAACCUCUUAACGGUCUGCGGAGCCUUGAAUCCGACAGAUUAUAUCAAAACUUGUCUUAAAUUUGAAAAAAAAUAUAAUAUCACAGUCCAUUGGUGUCCAUAUGAUCCCACGAUAAGUUUCAUGAAUUGCAACUUAGUUUUGGAUUUACUGGAUUUUAAAAGGAAAACGUUUAUAAUCAUCCGACUUGUCUCUCUCUCUUUUAAGCCUCCUUCUCUAUGCGCCACGUGUGUGCGUCAGGCUGCGGCUGCCCACCGCUUCGCCCCAACCUUAUCUUAUCUCUAACGCAGCUCCUCCACUCGUUUCUUCUUCUUUCUUCCUUUUACAUCCCAUCGCCAAGAGAUUAGCCAUGGCGAGCAGCCGAGCACCACCACAACAGCUAGGAAAAUGGAAGAGUUAGACGCCGGCCGUCGGCACCAACAGCCGGAGCUCCUCCGUUGCAUCGCUGGAGGUGGCAUAGCGCACAUGGAGGGGAGCCAUGGUAAGGACCACCACAACAACGGGGAACCGGGAGGUGAUGCCGGUGAUACAAAUGGCGCUCGUCGAUGAACGCCGGUGCUGCAAUGCACCAACGCGUCCAUGGUCGCCGGUAUGCAACGCAACAACUUGUCCACGGCCAUCAUGGUGCGUUACAACCUCGUCCGUGAUGCAAUGCAACCUCGUGUGCCGUUGCAGUACUCGAGCGCCGGCGGCGGAGCUACAAUGGAGCUGCUCGGCUCAGGCGGCGGAGCUCCAAUGGAGCGCUCGGCGUAGGCGGCGGAGCUCCAAUGGAGCGCUCGACGCCGGCGGCAGAGCUGCAAUGGAGCCGCUCGGCGCAGGCGGCGGAGCUACAAUGGAGCCGCUCGGCGUAGGCGGCGGAGCUUCAAUGGAGCGCUCGACGCCGGCGACGGAGCUGCAAUGGAGCAGCUCGGCGCAGGUGGCGGAGCUGCAAUGAAGCUGCAAGUCGCCGGCUACGGAGCUGCAAUGGAGCGCUCGUCGACGCCUCCCCCCUGCUCCGAUGCACCACUCCCGCGACUGGUCCCGGUGCUCCAGCGCUGCACUUGUGAGUGGCUCGGUGCAGCGUCGUUGGCGGCUCUUGGGGGCAGCCCGUUGCAGUGAAGCGCUGCUGCCAUGCCUAGAGUCUAUGGUGUUGCCACGACCGGCGGCGGUAAUGUGUUUGCAAGGUGAGGAACGAGCUGAGCAGAGCCUGGUGCUGCGAGCGAGCGCGGCAUGGCGGCUGCGACUGCGAGCUAGACCAGGGCCGCUCGCUGGAGCUCACCGCGUCUAUCUCAGGAAUCGCGUGUGCGUGGGGAUUUUUUUGAAUUGGAUGCGACGCGAGGAAGACGAGGCCACGCGCGGCGUUCUAUUGUAUCAGGCUGGUCAUAGUGGGAGUAACAUAGACGCGACAUAAGCAAAAAUGAUGAUAUGGCAAGUAGUUAAUGAGGAAAGAGGCAAAUAGAGUAACAUAAUAUGUUACCAUCACAUAGCGGUUUCCAAUGCAUAAUGAGUCUACAAAGUAAUAAAUGAAGGCAACUAUGUUACCACACCUAUGACACUACCCACUAUGAAGGUAGUAAUAUAGACUAGUAAGAUAUGUAUGUUACUAGUCUAAGUUACUCCCCACUAUGACCAGCCUCAGAGCGACACGGUCUAGGUUGACUAAUCCAACGUAUCGAGGGAUUUGAUCGGACGGUUGGGGACCCGACUAAUUUCCCGAGGAAAUAAGUCGGAUGAUUCCUAGCAGCCGCCAUUUUAAAAUCGAGAUUCUCGAUGUUAGAAAUUUCUUGCAUCGGGACUAAACAUGCACCAGGGACACAUACACGUGUGAUUUUUCAAUUCAUUUUGGUGCACUAUUAUGUGUCUCAUGUAGUUUAAAUUUGAUUUUUGCACAUUAAAUCUCUGGGAAAUCAAUCAACCCGAAUUAUUAAAGCGCACCGUGCCUUGUCGUCCGAUCGAGGAGAUCGUGCGCGUCUCCCGGUCAGAAACCGACAGCGGUUCGCCUGAAUUAAAACCUGGGUCCCACAGAAUAAAUAGGCAGGUGAAACAGCCACGUACCAGCAAAUGACGACGACCCCUCCCCAAAAUUCCCCAAUCCACCUUCGAGCAGAGAAGAACAGCGAGGCGGAGAUAACGAUGGGAAGGAGCAGGGCGGCGCGAUUCGGCGAAGAUUCUUCGUGUUUCAUUUCCACGACCCCACUCCCCUCGCGCGAACGCCGGCGGCGCGGGUGGGCUGCCGCAGCGGCUUCAAGGGAUCUGGCGACAUGGGAAGUUGAGGCGCGGGUGGGUUGUCGGAGCGCUCGAGGCGCAUUGCACACGUAAAUCAAUGGCGACUGCUGAGCUAAGUAGCCCAUCCUUCCUUCUCCCUCUGUACAUAAUGAUUCUUGGUCGCGGGGGAGGCGGGUCGUAAGGGGAGGUCAUCGAUGGGAGUCUACGCGGCGAGGGAGCGCGGCGCGCACAAGCAUUUUCACGUGGGUGAAUGGGAAAGGGGGAGGGGCGUUGCAGACUUACGUUGCAAACCCAUCGGCGAGUUGCAGAUGAGGGAGAGUGAGGGAGGAUGGCGUUUUACAUAGGACUAGACGAGNNNNNNNNNNNNNNNNNNNNNNNNNNNNNNNNNNNNNNNNNNNNNNNNNNNNNNNNNNNNNNNNNNNNNNNNNNNNNNNNNNNNNNNNNNNNNNNNNNNNNNNNNNNNNNNNNNNNNNNNNNNNNNNNNNNNNNNNNNNNNNNNNNNNNNNNNNNNNNNNNNNNNNNNNNNNNNNNNNNNNNNNNNNNNNNNNNNNNNNNNNNNNNNNNNNNNNNNNNNNNNNNNNNNNNNNNNNNNNNNNNNNNNNNNNNNNNNNNNNNNNNNNNNNAAGUUUGUUGCUCAGGAUGGCUGUACGAGUUGCUUAAAAAAAUAAGAUGACAGAGGUACUACGCAUAGAUUUGAGGUUUGUUGAUUCUAUCUAAAGGACCAUGCAUACAGCGGUCGAUCUCUAUAUAUGGGAUGUGACUGACUAGGAAGGUGAAGGACAGGAAAGCGUCACUUUGUUAGUUUCUGAAUCUUUCUGAAUUGAUGUUUGCAUGACUUAGUUGUUUGUUGUUGCCUAAAUAUUUAUUAGUGCACCUGCACUAAUUGGAGCCCCUGAGCGCACAGCCUGAUUAAAAUCGCGCUGCGCAGGUUGUUUCCUAUCGGAACUGACGUGCACGCGGGGGCGAGGGAGAUACCGUGUUAGAAGAGGCCGAUGAAUCAGCGUCCGUCUCUCACCCACCCACCCACCAUCCUGACACGUUCUCUCCUCUCUCUCUCUCUCUUUCUCUCUCCUAUCCGUCGUUCUCGAAACUGCCUGAGAAGAGAGAGGGUUUGAGAAGAUGGAGCGCCCCGAACUCGAGACUGAGUGGGGGGCGGAGGUACCACCAACCGGAGGAGGGGAGCGGGGGGCAGCUCUCCGUCCGCGCCGCGACCGCAAAACUGAAGGACCGAGGGCCAGAGUGCCGCCCGUGCCGUGACCACCAAGCGGAGGAGCAAGGGCCGGAGUGCCCGUCCCAAAGCACUCUGNNNNNNNNNNNNNNNNNNNNNNNNNNNNNNNNNNNNNNNNNNNNNNNNNNNNNNNNNNNNNNNNNNNNNNNNNNNNNNNNNNNNNNNNNNNNNNNNNNNNNNNNNNNNNNNNNNNNNNNNNNNNNNNNNNNNNNNNNNNNNNNNNNNNNNNNNNNNNNNNNNNNNNNNNNNNNNNNNNNNNNNNNNNNNNNNNNNNNNNNNNNNNNNNNNNNNNNNNNNNNNNNNNNNNNNNNNNNNNNNNNNNNNNNNNNNNNNNNNNNNNNGCGCGAGGGUGUUUGUUCUUCUGUUCUUGCCGAAACUGAAACUGAAACGCUGUGCAUGCCAAACUUCAGAAAGCAUGUACGCGGAGAACACCAGUACAUAUUCCAAGAACAGGUGCGCAAGCAUCCAGAUUCCACAAUCUUUGCAUCCUUUGUACUACCUUUACAACUUUCAAAAUCACCAAACGAAUUAUCAACCUCUACAUUCUGUACAGAUUCAUUUUCAAUGUUCAUAAACUUUGCAUCCUUUUGCACAUCAUUACAAUGUUCAGAAACAGCACGAUACCACCCUUGUUUGGUCCUAUUCACACAACCUAUCCAAAUACUUGUUCUGAACCUAGAUAGAUUUGGAUGUUAAUGACAGGAAUGACGAGAGCGAGACUGGGCGCAACAUGCCAACAAUUGUACUUGGAUUAUUGCUUGUAGACAGUCAUUAUGACCUUUUUGUGCUAGAACAGUUUAAUUAGAAAUCUGAUGUGCCAUUCAUGAAUGCCAGAGAAGUUUGGCACUUGACAGUCAGUUUAGCCUAUAAAAAAGAUCCGCAUCCCCCGGGAUUAGUAGUUGUUGGACGCGGCAUAAGAGUUGCUCAAAAUUGAUCACGGGAAAUCCAUGUACCAAUGUAAUUUUCUUUACUCUCUAUUCUCGGUCAAGGUAUCAUAAAGGAUGAUGAGUGAUGGACUAGAUUCAGAUAUAAGCUGUACACAGUCAACAGUCAACACAUACCAAGUAUGAUUAAAAUUGAAGAGAAACUUUAGAUGUCUUGAUGGAACAAGCACAAUGCCAUGUUCAUAUCUGUUCCAUCAGCGCUAAAUAAAGGUUGAUAGUCUCACGGGGUGAUGUUUGUUAUAAUGUGUGCAUAUGUUUAGAAAACUUUGGAAUUAGUAUUGUAGUUGCUGCAUGGUGGCAUCAGAGUUGCUAAAAAAUGAAGGCAUAGUGCACGAAGUUGUAGUUUGAGUUGGUGCUUGUAGUUUUUUUCUCAUGCAAAGUUGAUGCUGCAAUGGAUUUUCUAUGACAUAAUUUUGAUGGAUUUUUGUAUCAUGCUAACAAUGUUUCCUGUGCAAUUGAAUGACUUUUUUUUGCUAGCAGUAUAUUGUUUUGUUCGCCAAUUAUCUCAUAUAUUUGCUUCAUAGGGGUAAAGCACGGUAUGCUCGGCCAGAAGAAAUGCCCAACAAGAUCAAGGGCCUCAAGGGCAGGGUAAGGCGGGACAAACAGGGAAGCAAGGAUAGCUAUUAAAUAGUUUUUGCAGCAAAUUAAACGGGGAAGGAAGGAUAGCGGGACAAACGGGGUUGCAAACGAGGGAGAGGGGCGGAUUUUGUACUACGGCGAGUGGCUUCUCUUGCGAUCGUCAUGGCUGAUAUGGGGAUUGAAGGGGGUGGCUAGCGUUGGAUUCAUAGGGAAACUUUUCACUCUAGGGGCAGAGCAGUUGCUUGGAUUUUUGCUAUAAGAGUUGCAGUUGCUUAGUUUUGUUGGGGCAGUUCCUUGGAUUUAUUUUGAAUAGUUUUUGCAUUUGUGGUUUUUGUAAUGCAGUUGCUUGGUUUUGCUAGCGCAAUUGCUUGGAUUUUUUUCUAGAACUGUUUUGCAUUUUGUGUUUUUUUGUAAUUGCAUUGCUUGGUUAUUGCUAGAACAGAGAAGACACCCGGAGGGGAGGGGGUGGGUGUUAGAUAGUUAUCAAUAUCAUACAUUUUUCCUCUGCGUAAAGUAGAUAAUCUAAGUAGUAAUGCUACCACGGUUGCUUGGUUUUGCUAGGACAGUUGCUUGGAUUUGUGCCAGAACAGUUUUGCAUCUGUGUUUUUGCUAGGUGGAGGGCGGCAAGGUGUGUGAUAGGGCGUGUAGCGGGAAGAUGAAGGUGGUGGGCGGCGAGGCAAGAGAGAGGAAGCGUGUGGGGGUGGACGAAGGUGGAGGGCACUGCCCAAGUUAUGAUUGGAGUUGCACAAUAUGUCGGAAGGAGUUGCAUAGGAGUGGAUCGGAAGUGGCUCAUUUUUCCUUUUUUGUUUGUCGAGUGGAUUUGCCCAAUAUUUUUUAUAAGUAUUUAGGUGCUCUUCUUGAUUGGAUAGGUUGGUUCGGACUAGUGUUCUUUUUGCCCUGCUAUUCUUGGUUGCAUAUGUUAGUUAAGACUUUCCUUUGGAUCCUGCACAUGGCCACAUAGGUCUUCCAUUUGUUUUUUGCCUGCGGUCUUCGGCUGCAUUUGAUGAAUACGUAGAACAUCAUGUGAUUUCAGAAAAAACUAUCACACAACAAAAGCAACAAAAACCACGGAAAAAGAUACCAUAGUUGCCCUACGUAGUUUGCAUAUUUUUUAUGCACAAUGCAUGAAAGAUAACAUAGUUGCACACAAUUAAUCAUACAGUUGCCUAAAACCAUGUAUCUCAUUGCCCAAUCCUCAUGAACAGAAACAUUACCAAAACCACGAUUUUAUCAAUAUCUAAAGGUUUUAGAUACCUCUCAAUUAAUUUUGUGUCAUAGUUGUGUGUCAAGAAUUUCUUCUGCUCUGGUGGGAUCCCUUGAUAUGAUCUUAAACAUUUGACGAAUGAUCAUAGAGGGUGGCGGGGUGGAGCUGAUCAUGGG
This 66156-nucleotide long non-coding RNA is filed under the name Triticum aestivum (bread wheat). Its description in RNAcentral is "long non-coding RNA (TAES_LNC010212)". The record is from RNAcentral. Lineage: Eukaryota; Viridiplantae; Streptophyta; Magnoliopsida; Poales; Poaceae.